RNAcentral lists this long non-coding RNA (82805 nucleotides) under Populus trichocarpa (black cottonwood). RNAcentral's name for it is "long non-coding RNA (PTRI_LNC002422)". The stretch from base 44884 to 45039 matches the Rfam family "MIR2912 microRNA precursor family". The record is from RNAcentral. Lineage: Eukaryota; Viridiplantae; Streptophyta; Magnoliopsida; Malpighiales; Salicaceae.
UUAGAUCUUAGUGCUUAGUGUCUGACUAUAGGUUCCUUGUUAGUCUCGAUUAUAAUCUUCUACUUCUACAUUAGGCUAGAUUUUGAUCUAGAUUGUUUGAACACGAGAACUUCAGUUUUUACAGUAGCUUUUCUGAUUCUACGAGUUCCUUCUACUUUGUUUGCUGUGCUUUGUUUGCUGUGGCUUUGCAAUUAUCUAUUGUCAAGGUGCUGGGACUAAUUAUUGAUGUCCAACCAACCACAUAAUUGAGAAUCAAACCUGUAACAGGAGAAACAAAGGCUCUGAGGGUGCUCUCUUUUUCAUUUGACCACAAAUUGGAAAUUUCCUGUUUUAUUUUAGGUUACAGGCAAAUCCUUUUUCUUUUAGAUCAUACAUUCAUUGAAAUUAUGGUUGAUUUGUCUUUGCAUCUUUUUUUAGGAGUUAAAGACAGAAGAGAGAGAAGCAAGGAAGGCCAAGUCGGGUAUCUUUGAAUUAAUAGAAAAUGGAAUCUUUGAAUCUAUUAAUAUCAGAUAUAUUGUUUCUUGGGUUUUUGUUUUUUGGAGUGAAGUGAACAUUAACCAGGAUCUAUUUUUUUUUCAUUUACAUUUGGGUGUUUGUAGUGGUGAUGCUUUUUUAACCAAUUCAUAAUUUAUUUAGUAAUUUUUUUUAAACUUCUCCUUUAUAAAUUGCAGGUUAGAGUCUGUAGAGAAAAGUCGACAGAUCAUAUAUAUGCUAUAAAGAAGCUUGAGAAAUUAUAGAUGCCUUGUUGAGGCCAGGUAUGUGAUUUUGUUAAGCUUUCCUAACAAUUUUAUUGGAUUUCUUUUUCAUUAUAUGCUUAUUUCCGAUUUGGAUCUAAAUGUUCAAGUUAAACAUUUGAAAGUAGAAAUGAUUCACAAAUUAUUUUAGAUUGAAGUUCUCAAUUCGACGGAUAAGCCAGGGUUUUGAGCACAUCUAUGACUACAAUUUAAAUAGACUUUGAAAUAUGAUUUUGAAUCUUUCCGUGGAGUGAUUUUUUUAUCGUUCACAAUUUUAAUUUCUUUUAAGUUUUCGUGGAUUGUUUUUGAGAUAAUAAUGAAGGCAAGGUGAAUCAAAAUUUUUAGUGUCAUUGUCAAUUAUAACCUUAGUUUAAUCUUCUAUGAUUCUAAUUACUACUGAUAUAUUUAUUGGUUUUUUUCCUUUUUGUCUCUGACAUGUCUUUUGGUUAUUUGGUUAUUGUGCCCAUAAUUAUUUUACAAUGAACCAUCCAGGAUUAAAUUAUUGCAUUAUCUAGUGGCUCUUAAUCAACCAUUUUUUUAAAGUUUUUUUUUCUUCCAUAAGUGGAUGGUAUUCAGGUGGGGUGUUCAUAUUGUUGAAAUAUUUGACUCAGUGUGCUACUGUCUCUAUAUUAUAAGAGUGCAGUGCUUUAGGUAUUUUCAUUCGAAUGAACAAGUUUCAUAAAUUACAUGAAAAAUAUUUUUUAUGUCCUCAUCUUGCCUUUUCACAAUUUGGUUUUUUUGUUCUAAUAGUUGGAGGUGCUAGGUGUGCAGUUAUUUGUGCAUGGUUUUAAUCAACUCCUUAUAGGGACCAUACUCCAUAAGUUUGAUACGCCUUUUUUUUUCACAUGUUGCAAGGUUGUUUUGCUUUCUCCUGUUUUGAGAAUUCAACAGAAUUUAUACUUUUGAAUUUAGCCUUUGAAAAUGACAUCACUUUUAGAUCCAUACGCACUUUGCAUCCCACAACUUAUGUAUACCUGAUAAAAGAAAAAUGGGGGGGGGGGGGGGUGUUAAUGAAAUAAAUAAAAGACGUAUGCCUUGACUAUUUCUUUCAAUACAUAAGAUAAUUAUAUUCUAAGACAAAAAAAAAUAGUUAAAAUCAAUAAAAUAAACUUGCUGGACUAUUUUCUCUUGUCCUUGCAAGCCACGACUUUAUAUUGUGGCUUAAGAUGCGCCUCAACUCUGCUUGGAUCCAACCACUUUAGAGGAUGGAGAUUGAAAAACAUUCAAUGAGGGACCAUAACCUGUAAGGUAAAAAACACUCCACAUGAGAAAAUUAGCACCAUCGUUUGAAACAAUCUAAAACCAAAGCAACACAAAAACCUUCUCUUCUUUUCUGUCUUUUUUAAGGUUUCUCUCAGUUUUAAUUUUGUUUUUUUAGGUUAACAUAAAAAGAAAGAUUAUUCAAAUAAAGAUAGGACCUUGAUGGCCAAAAAAUCCUCUUUUUUGAUCCUUUCUAUGGUGUAUGUCAGUGCUUACUCAUUCGAGGAUAUUGUGUAUUCAAUUCUUAAAAUGGGUUGAUUCUUGUUCAAUUAGAGAUAUGAAUUUAGUCCCUUUCUUUCUUUCUUUCUCCGUUUAAAAUCUUGAAAUUGAACUCAAUAGUUACUUGGGCUCUUAUUCUUCUUGUUGAUAUUGUUUUGUAAUUCCAAAGGGUUACUGGAAUUAAUACUGUCUGUGUUUUAAGAUUUGAAGAGUCUCUGGCAUUAUGGAUCUGUCUCCAUUCAAGUUGGACAUUGAUGAGCUUAUAAAUGAGUUUGUUGAGGUGUUUACUUGGAUUUGUUAUCUUGGGCUGUUUUUGCUUUGUUUAGCUAUUGUUUUUCAGGAAGGUUAUUUUGUUUUGAUUGUUUUAACAGUUGUGGUGUUCGGGAACUGUUAGGGUGAGUUUACAACUUUGGCUGAUAUGAAAAGAGUAUGGCUUUCCAGGAAGUUUACCUACAUCUUUGAGGCUAGUUCUCCUACCAAAUUGGCCUUCAUAAUGCAGUCGCUGUAUGCUCAUACAAUUGGUGAGCUCUCACCGACAUGAUUUUUGUAUUGUCAUUGAAUCAAAUAAUGUUCUGUGCUAGAAUCCAGUUUGUCGUCGUGAGUUUGUCUUCAGUUAAAAAAUUGUUGCCCUGGUUAUAUUUUAUAAAGCCCGUUUCUGGUAAUGGACAAGUCCCAUCUGGGGCUGGAUAGUUUUUGGAUCAUGUUGCCAUCUCAUCAUAUUUCUUGAGACAUAUGUAAGCGAGAGCUUGUUUAAUCUUACCAUGCUCAUAGUGAAUUUAGAUGAUUGUCUCCUUGAAAGUAAAUCAAGGAUUUUUUUCUGGUAAUGGACAAGUCCCUUCUUUAUGGGGUCACUCUUGUAUUCAGCCAUGAACAAACUGGGUUUUUGCAUUGUAUUGUCAGUGUCGUUGUGAUUAAUUUCUUUCAUUGGUUUGACUUUUAGGUUUAAAGUGAACAUGCUUAAGGGUUUUUCUUUGUGUGAACUCUCUCUCAUUUGGAAGCAUUUUAUUGCUUUUGAUCAUGCUUGAUCAUGCUUGAUCAUGUUGAGGUGAAUUUAGUGAUGAUAGUAAUAAUGAAGUUAUGAUUAACUGAAGUUUUGUUUUUCCUUCUCCUUUUCACCAUCUUAUUUCUUCAUGUUAUCUGACAGGAGAGUUGAAGAAACUCAAGACCCUUGUUAUAAAUGCAAAAGAACAUGGAAUAAAAGGAGUACCUGCUUUGGUCAAAAGGAUGCUAGAAAAGAACAUGUUUCUUUUUGGGUUCGUGGAUUUACAUGAAGGUUCUGUCAGUGAGACAGGGAACCAACUCACAGAAUUGCAAGAUGCCCGUGUGCAAGUUGCAUAUAAGAAGUAUGUUUUCUAAGAAUGAUAUAAUUUAUUCCAAUCUAAUAUAAUAGCAUGAUUAGGCAGGUUUCAGGUUUCAAAACAUUCUAUGGAUCCUCUUAUUGCUCCACUGCUUUCUUUAUAACAGGUUGUUUGAUGAUAUUCGGAUUGAGCAAUUCCUCCAUAUGGACAUGGUGGUAUGUUGCAUAACUCAUGUAAAGGUUUUACUCAGGUUCCACUAGAUCAAUAGUUGCAAAUAGGCCCCGCCUUUUCCUAUUUUGAAAAUAGAUACCUGUAGGUAUAAUGAUUGUACGAUGCUCACAGUUGGUGCCAUGGUUUUCCUCUUUUUUUUUUUCUUUCUUCAGAAUAAGCUUGUGGAUUGAAUUGCAUCUGCAUCUGCAGGGUAUGUAAUUUGAUUUAGAGAUGCUCAAGAAAAUGUUAACAGAAUAUGCAGAGGCGAAGAAACAUGUCAACAGAGGUAUGUUCUUUUAUCCAUCUCAUGUCCUUAUUUAAAAGUUAUAGACUGAAUAAGCAUCAAAUAGUGAAAGUAACAUGUGUAUUUUUCCUUAAUAUAGCUGUUUGAUAUUGUGGUAGCUGUUGUGGUUGUGGUUUGAAAAAGUUGUUUUAUAAAAAGUAAUUUUGAUUGAGGUUGAUUUGGUAUUUAUGAAUGUUUGGUUAAAACUGUGGUUGAAAAUGAGGUUGAAUAAAAAAUAGUUUAAUGUAUUUGGUUAAUAAUGCUUUUGAAAUUGAGGUUAUAAAAUAAUUUUAAAAAAUAUAUAUUAAUAUUGAUGAUUUUUAAUUUAAAUAUUGUAGAUUUAACUAUUGUUAUUACAUCAUGAAAUAAAUAAUACUUUAUAUAAAAUAUUUUUUAUUGUUUCAUUAAACUAUCUACAAUUCCAUCACGUAUGAAAUACAUCCGACAAGGAUUACAGUUUUUUUGGUAUCUUAAGCGCGCAACAUCAGGUAAAAUAUAAUCAGGAACAAAAUUGGGAUUGCGAUCAAAUUCUGCAAAUGCUACGUCAUCAAGUGAUCUCUGUCUAAUUUAUGUAGUGUCAUUGAAUAAUGUUAAACACUAGUGUUUCGAAUAUAACACAAUUAAAAAAUAAAAAAUAAUUUUAUUAUUUUUUACUGGGUCGGACCUGGUUCAAUGCAUUUUGAGCUUUGAACCGGAACCGGUCCAACCGGAACAGUGGAGCUGGCUACACUGUUUAUGCUAAUUAAUUAGCAUGAACAGUGCGCAAGAAGCAGCAAUUGCUUGCUUUUCUUUCCCCUGCGUUUCGGACGCAAAACACUGUGGGACCCAUAAACAGUAAACUGGGUUUUUUCCUUAACCAAACAGGUUGCAUCUGCGUUUUAAACAAAACGCAGACGCAACCUCAUUACCAAAUGGCCUCGAAUCCAUAAGAGUUUGUGUUUAUUCUUAUUGUCGAUUUGUUACUCAACCCAAAAAUUUCUCUCUGAUUCUUAUCCACAUCAUUUAUGGUGCUGUAUAAACUUUGAAGCACAUAUCAAUUAAUACUAUCUAAACAUGUUAAAUAUGCUUGGUCCAGAUAUCAUGGAGUCUCCAAUUUAUAUUUCCCUUUUAAAAUUCUUUCAGUAUCUAAUGACGUAUUUAAUUUACCACUUUUUUUUUUCAGAAGCAAGCAAGGCAGUAGAUGUCCAAAACAUACAGCAUAUAUCAUAUGAUAGGGAAUUUAUUUGAGAUGAAGUUGAGAGGAUCACAGAGAACUGGAACGUCCAAAGGCAAGUGUUUUAUCAGCAAACAGGACUGAAUCAACGUCAUGCUCAGAAAGAUGAGCAACAACAUCAACCACAGCACAAAAAACAUGAACAACACGAUGAUGAUUUUGGUGAUGAAUUUUGUCAUCAACUGGAACUGCAACUAACUGAAGAAGAACAGCUACAACAAAAACAAGAGGAUGAUGAAUGUAAUCAUGAAUUGGAGCUGUAACUUUCUGUAAAACAACUCUAAUAAUGUAGCAACAAAAUGGUGAGGAAUUAUGCUACAAAAACCAGGACAAAUAGGAAUCCCAUGGUUUAGGACAUAAUUAUCUAGCAAGGUGAUCAUUCCAAUCUGCGGAAUUUUGUGAUUAGACUGCUGCAAUUUGAACCUCCCUUCAAGACUAUCCCCAGGACUUUUUCAGUUUAUGAAAGAGAAAACUGAUUGGUUUUCUGGAUAGGUUUCUCAAGCUACUGUAUUUAUUAUCAAAACACAAAAAGGAUCUCUCUGUAUAAAACGUUUGUCAGUAUAUGUUGAGAAUGGCAUCUUGAAACAACUAGAGUCAUUUUUAAUGUUAUUCUUUGCCAUUGGUCUGCAUCCCCAUGAAGUCUAUAAACCUAGCUUUUCCAGUUCUGUUAGGCCCCUUGUCCCACCCUUCCAGUACCAAGAAUUUUGUUUUCCUGUUCAUGCCAUACAUGUCUAUUGUUGAUUUUAAGUGCAGAUAAAGUUCAGAUUGGGUUUCUGUCGUUUAUUUUGGUCCACUGGAUUCUUGUUAGUGUCACAAUCAUCUCAGGAUUAUUCAAUACGUUUCAUUACAAUACCUCAUGAAUCAUGCUUUACUGAAGGAAGCAAUUGAAGUGUAUUCCCUUUUCUUUUAUGGUUUCCAGCUGUUCUCUUUUAUGUUGAUUAAUAAAAAGAGGAAACAUUAGUUGUGUGUUGACUAUCACCAUUUUCAAUGAUUCAGAUUAUAUCAAACGGCAUGGAGAUGGAUUUUUGCAAGAGUCUUUUAAGUUGUUUGAGCUUAGUUCAGAGCAGAGUAUUAAUUAAACUGUUAGGUAGCAGAAUUCUUAAUUGACCAUUCCCCCUCAAUUCCUCACAUGAUUACAUGAACUAGUAAACUACAAAAGCAAUAAAAUUAGAGGGGAAACAUGUAAGUAUAAUAAAUAUCCCAAUACCCAAACCUUCCAAGUAGCCCUUAACUCUUUUCUAAAUGAAUUUUCCUAUGACUCAAUCUCAACAACAUGAAAUUUGCCCUUCUCACGCAAGCUAUCCAAGCUAAAACCAACCAACCUAGAAUUCAAAUUAUACACAAAAUCAACCACAUUUGAGUCCACAAUGCACUUCCUUGGCUUAGCAGAUGAAUAAGCACCAAACUUGCCACAUCCUUUAACCUCUAUGCAAACUUUCACAACUAAUUCAUCGCUAUAGUUCCCUACCCUCUUCAGUCACACCACUACUUUCACCCCUGUAUCCAUCAUCAAGCUCUGAUAAUUCAACACCACCUUUCACUUCAAACUUUAGCCCCUUAAUGGCUCCACCUGCAUUGAACAUGUUGGUUAGCCCCAGGGGUGCAAAGCUGAACCCAGUUGCUAAAACCUUGAUGUGUGUUACAGUGAAUAUGCCAUGCUCAAGGACUUUGAGUGACACUGGCAAGGCUGCAUUGUAAAGGAGGGUGAUUAGUUAUCCCGUCCGGUGACAAUAGAAAACACAAUUGUCAUCCCAGUUGUUGCUACCCAAUUUUUGAUCCAUGUUUUGAUAAAUUUUUCAGAAAAAUUCAAAAAUAGCGAAAAACAAUGAAAAUAAAAAAAAUACGUUUUUUAAUAUAUUUGCAUCAUUUUUAGCAUUUUCAGCAUCGUCUUAAAAGAAUUUAAUUUUUCAAAGGUCUUUAAAGCGCGUUCAACUUUUAACGCGUUAUUUUUAAAAAAUCAAUAAUUUUCCUCAUUUCGAGUCGAUGUUGAUAAGAAAAAUCUAAAAAAAUAAAAAAAAUCAAAUUUACAAAAAAAAAAGUUGAGGGACUAAGUUUGGUGACCUAGCAACAUUUUUGCCUAUAAAUAGGAGUUUCCAACACAUACAAAAGGGAAGGGGGCAAUUUUGAAAAAACAAAAAAAAAAACCCUAAACCUAAACCUUCACAGUGCAGGCCUCUGCCCCCUUCCUUUGGUUUCUCUCCCAAAACCAGCCAAAGGAAAGCAGCCCCACAGGCCGCUCUCCAUUUCCUUCCCCCCAUUUCCUCUCAUCUUCAACCUAUAGCACAACAACCCCAUUUUCCUCCACAACAGCCAGCAUUCCCUUUAUCCUCUCCUCUCCCCCGGCUUGCUCUUCUUCUUCACCCAUAGAAGUCAGCCGCCGCUACACCUCCAUCUCCCACAUCGGACAAGCUCCCCUCCUCCAGCCGUUCCUCCAGCGCCCACAGACCCAACAACACAGAAGCUCCCUCCUUGGCAGCAUCUUCUUCUUCGGUCUUCUCAACAGUAAACGACCAAAACAACAGCCCGAAGCCAACCCAACUGCAACACCCCCCUCUCGGCCGUUCAGCCUGGGAGCCGCCUACCACCCGAAGCGAAAGGGAGGAAGACGGAAACCAAAGAAGGAUCUGUGGUGAAAUGGAUCUGAAAGGAGAGAGACAAAUCUGAAAAACAAAGAAAUAAAAACCUAAAAUCAACUGUUUGUGCGUUUUUCUCCUUGUUGCAAGUGGCGGUGACCUUCACAGACAGCGUAGGAAGACAAAGAAGAAGAAGACGUUCCCGAUCCACGGUUUUAUUGCCUUUAUCGGCGGUGGCGUGUGAACCCAUGCGCCACCAGUGGUGGUGGCGCGUGGAGCAACACGCCGCUACUGUUUCUGCAGUUUCAGAGGGCUUCCCAGCACUGUUCCUGAAUUUUUUAGGGUUCAUUUCAUAAAUUUAAAAUUGUUUAAUGUGUUGUUUUGUUUAUUUUGAAUUUUUGAUUGAUUUGUAAUCAUGUAAUGGGUGUGUGCUUAAACAUAGUAAAAGGAAAGUGUUGGAGUGGGUGUUUUGUUAUUAUUUUUUAUGUAUGUCUUGUUUAUGUUAAAACUAAAAAGAAAUUUUAAUUUGCAUUGAAUUUGGUUCAUAUUUCAAAAAAUAUCAAAAAAUAUUUUUUCUUUUGGUAACUAGAUUAUAAUCUUAUAUGUAAGAUGCAUUUUUUAUAUUAAAUAGAAAAGUUUGUUUUGUUUUUAUUGAUGCUAGAGCAAUUAGGUUUUUUUAUCCGAUAAGAUAAGGAUCUCCUUACCGAGGAGAACUUUUCUUCUCUUUUUAAGAAAUCAUUGGCAAGACAACUUUCAAAACCUUUUAAAUUACAUCAAAUCGCGAAGCAGCUUACCUCAGGUAGGGUGCGUUAAGGGUGUUAAUACCUUCUCUAACCACAACCAGUUCCUUACCCGUGAAUCUCUAAUAAAGACCAGUAUAUCCGGGUUUCCUAGUAACCCUCAAGUAAAUACUAGGUGGCGACUCCCAAGAACCAACAAGCAAAUGAAUCAAAAAUCACCAAACGGACGCCACGCGGGCGACGUGCAACACCAAUUGGAGUCCGUGGCAGCUUCAAUGAUGAGGUGAACAUCACGACCCCUAAUAGUGCCUGUUAGGGUAUCAGUUGUGGUUUGGUGGAAAGCGUUCUUUAUUUCCGUGCUGCUCCAAGCUGCUCCUUGGCAAUUGUAGACACCUAAGACCCCUGUGAACUUGUUCAUGCUCAAUAUUUUCAAUAAGCUGCAAUCAAAGAAAAACUGUUUAAGAAAAUUCUCCAUAAUGCAACAUUUCUAGGAUAAGAAAUUAGCUAAAAUUCAGAUGAAAAUAUUUUCAUCAUGCUAGCUAGCUUAGAUGACGAAACUAUCAAGAAAAAAAAGAUUUAUCGCACUCCAUCACGAGAAGGGUCAGAGAACAAGUAGUCAGAGGUGGGCCUUCCAAGCAAACAAGCUCGAAGAAUAGACCCAUCGGGAAGUACCACCUUCUUUAGUAGCUCAAAGUUGUGCUUCCCAGGUGCAUCACUGCUCAUAAAAAAUGUUACCACAAACAUUUAGCAAAUGACAUAGCACAAAAAUAUUUGAUGAUAUCUUAAUUUAACAUUGAAAUUUUGAUUGAUGAUGAAGGACUAGGAUUUACUACCUGACAUAGAUGGGUCCACCACUAAUAGCCCUAGCAGAAGCAUGAUACUCUGCAGCUGUAUGUAAAGAAUGGAACAUGUCCCAAUCAGGCAGCAUGAACUCUCCUAAGAAAACACUGUUAUAUGUCACUGCUACUAUAUGAAUGGUGUGUGAUACUGGAUCACGCGGGUAGAAAUAAUCUGAUGCUCUCACCACUGCUGUUUGUUUGGAGAUGCGCCAUAAUGAUGCAACCAUAUUAUUCAAUAGUUUCACCCACAUUUAACUAGUGUUUUGCCUAUGUUUUAUAUAUAAAAUGCCUUGAUAUUCUUUGUUUUAUGUUUUGAAGGCACUUUUGGAUGAAAGAUGCAAAAAGGAGUAAAUUGGAGAUAAUUGGCAGAUUUGACCUUCAGUCGAUGUUUUGUGCAGAGCGUAAGCUCUAGAGGUUGAAAUGAAGUGAUUCUAGUGGAAUUAAAAAGAUAACAUCCAUACCUUUCUGGAAAUCUAAGUCAAGAAAAUAAAAUAAGGAAGAGCAUGAAAAUCGCAGCCUUCAAAGUCAAAUCUCGCAAUCUGCCAGUGUUGACCUUCGGCCAUUCCAACUUGAAUAUCUGGAGCUACAGAAGUCCAAUUGAUGCAAACUCAAUUUUUUUGGAUUCAUGACUCAAAUGUAUAUAAACGCUCCAAAUUUCAGCCAAAACCGAUGUCAUAUGAGGGAGAUAUGAUUUUUCAAAGAUGACAUCUGAAUUCUGCCAGCAAACAGGUUUCGUGAACAAAACGAGUCCAAAUUACGUUCCGAAGCAUCUAAACCGUGAUGAAGAUAGGAAGUUUUUAGAGAAUUGAGCUAAUUGAUAAACUUCAGAAUAGUAUGUAUUUCGUUAUUUUGAAUAAUACAACUGUUAACAUAUAUAUACACAGGAUUGCAGGUUUGAAUUUAGAAACAAAGCUAAGGUUGCGUCUUAGCAUUUACACUGCAUUUACAGUGAAGAUUUAUUUGUCGUUACAAGCUUGAUAUUAGGCUUGAGUGAUGGUUGCACAAUCCUGUGCAGGGGGCAAGGGAUUAUUUGCUGAAUCUGUGGGGAUUUCCUUUAUACGCUCCCGCAAGAUGGAUGAGCCAUCAGCUAAGCCAAUCUUGAGCAGUAAAGAAUGCAGACGUUGGGAAGACAGAGGCUUUGUUAGAAAAUCUGCCAGUUGGUCAUGAGUGUUGACAUGCUGAACAUUGAGAAUCUUCCUCUGAACCAUAUCACGGACAAAGUGGAGGUCUAUCUGAAUGUGUUUCAUCCGGGAAUGCUGAACUGGAUUGAAGCUGAGGUGUGUAGCGCCCAGGUUGUCACACAGCAGUCUUGGUGGAGAGGGAAUUGGGAGACAGAGUUCUUUGAACAGGGACAUCAACCAAACUGUUUCAGACGUAGUAGUGGCUAGUGAACGAUACUCAGCUUCAGUUGAGGACCUGACGACAGCCCGUUGUUUCUUAGAGCUCCACGAGAUGGGAUUGAUCCCCAGAAAUGUAAUGUAAGCUGAAGUAGAGGUGCGAUCAUCAUAAUUUCCAGCCCAGUCAGCAUUAGCAAAGGUGGUAACAUCAAAUGAAGACUGACGAUUUAUGUGAAUGCCAAGGAAAAUGGUUUUCUUCAGAUAGCGGAGCAAACAUUUGGCAGCAGACCAGUGAGUGACUGUGGGUUGAUGCAUGAAUUGUGACAACUUAUUAACGGCGAAGCAAAUGUCAGGACAAGUAAGGGACAAAUAUUGUAAACCACCGAUGAUACUUCGAAAUUCAGUGCUGUUGCAGGGUGCUGUGCUGUCAAGAAGCUUGAGCUGGACUGACGUGGACAUAGGAGAAGAGACAUCCUUAGCACCCUGCAUGUUGGUUUUGAAGAGAAGGUCCCAUAUGUAUUGAUGUUGCGAUAAGAACAACCCGUUUUUGGUGGGUAUAACAUCCAGCCCCAAAAAAUAAUGAAGUGUGCCCAAAUCUUUUAAUGAGAAUUGGAUGCAAAGUUGAUGAAUCACAUGAGUCAGGAAGGAUGGAGUGUUACCAGUGAUGACUAGAUCAUCCACGUAGACCAGCAGAUAACACAGAACAGCUGCACUGUGAUAGAUGAAUAGAGAAGGAUCGGCUUUGGAGUUGUGGAAUCCCAGUUUCAGAAUGGCCUGUUGUAGAGCAGAAUACCAGGCACGAGGGGCCUGUUUGAGGCCAUAAAUUGCCUUGUUUAACCGACAGACAUGAUGUGGAGUGGUGGUAUCUUGGAACCCUGGUGGCUGUGACAUAUAAACUGUUUCAUGCAGGUUCCCAUGCAGAAAGGCGUUGUUUACAUCUAGUUGCCGCAAUGACCAGCCGUGCAUGACAGCCAUGGUGAGAACUGUUCUUAUGGUGGCAGGUUUCACAACAGGGCUGAACGUUUCACUGUAGUCCAGGCCAGACCGUUGAUGAUAUCCUUUUGCAAUCAAGCGGGCUUUAAACGGAGCUAUGGAACCAUUAGGAUGUUGUUUGACCCAAAAAACCCAUUUGCACCCAACUGGUUGGCAGUCAGGAGGAGGCGGUACCAACUCCCAUGUACCAUGCCUCAUGAGGGUUGUGAGUUCCUCAGACAUUGCUAAUCUCCAGUGUGGCUCACGGAGAGCCUGUCCCACACAAGUUGGCUCUGCAGUACUUGGGAGGGGGUGUUUUGUGGUGGUGUUAACUUGUUUGGGUUUGUAAAUGUUAUUCAUGGAACGGGUGACCAUUAAGUAAGCCCGGUUGGGUGCAGGAUGUGAGGGAUGAGGAGGUGAGGUGGGCGAAACUGCACAAAGAACUGAUGAGGAUGGGUUACAGAGAUCUGGCAGGGGAGAUGAGGCAGGUUGAAAAAUACUGGGGGCAGAACAUGCUGAAGGAGAAGAUGAAGAUGUGAGUUCAUGUUAAGUAAAAGACAGAGUGGGGGAUUCAUUACCUGAGUGAGCAGUGAGAAUGGGUACCCUUGCCGAAGUCACUGGUGGAGGCGUAGGAGGAGAUGAAGAAUUUCCAUGAACAGGGGAGGCACUUGUCGGGCUAGGUGUGAAAAAUUGGCUGGAGGGGAUACCAUUUUCAUUUUCAUGAAAGAUGACAUGGCGUGAUUGAUAUAGGCGGUUUGUCAGGGGAUCAAGACAACUGUAUGCAUUUUGUGUUAAGGAGUAUCCUACGAAAAUACAAGGAAUGGAUUUUGGUUGUAACUUGUUUGUGUUAUAUGGCCGGAUAAGAGGAAAACAAAGACAACCAAAUUUUUUUAGCUUUUUAUAAUUUGGAGAUUGUGUAAAUAAAAUUUCAAACGGUGAUUUAUGUUGGAGGAGAGGUGUGGGCUGAUGGUUAAUAAGGUAUGCAGCGGUGGAAAAGGCAUAGGGCCAAUACUGUAGUGGAAGGGACGCAUCAUGUAGUAAUGUGAGACCGGUUUCAACCAAGUGACGAUGAUGUCGCUCAGAAACACCGUUUUGUUGCGGUGUAUGAGGAGCUGUGGUGUAAUGACUGAUUCCAUUUGUUGUAAAAUAGUGUUUUAAGGCAACAAAUUCACCACCAUUAUCAGAGUAGACAGAUUUAAUUUUUAAUUGAAACCGGUUUUCAACAAGAUUUUUGAACUGGGGAAAGAUGAUGCGAACACUUGAUUUUGUUUCCAUAGGAUAAAACCAAAUGUAUUUCGUGAAAUGAUCAACAAAAAUUAGAUAGUAACGAGCCCCAGUGAUGCCAAUUGUACUUGAGGGACCCCACACAUCAAUAUAAAGUAAGUCAAGAGGAGCAUGACUCAAGAGACUAUUUUGACGAAAUGGUUGACGGUGAGCUUUAUUAAUAGAACAUGAUGAACAAAGAGAAAUAUUUUUUUUGUUGAUUGUUGGAAGGGAAAAAGAGUUGAUAAGGUGAGUAACCAAUUUAGGAGAUGGAUGCCCAAGACGUUUGUGCCAUCCGUCAAUAGAGAUUCUUUCAUGCACGUUAGCAACAAUGGUAGGAGAAGACUGCACCAUUGACUUCGGAAGGGUGUAUACACCAUUGUCACACGCUCCUCGGAACAGAACCGCUCCCGUAAUUUGGUCCUUAACAAGAAAGAAAGAGGGGUGAAGCUCAAUAAAAACAUGAUUUUGACGAGUAAAUUGAUGAGCAGAUAUGAGAUUUUUUUGUAUAUUAGGAACACAAAGGGUAUCAUUUAAAUGAAAGGUACGGUUGGGAGAUUGAAAAAGUAAGGAGCCAAUGUGAGAAACAGGCAAACCUGAACCAUCACCAAUAAUAACUUCGUCAGUGCCAUCGUAUUCUGAAUGAAUAGAUAGAUUAGCAAGAUCACCAGUAAUAUUAUGAGACGCGGCUGAGUCUAUAAGCCAUUUUGUAUCCUGUGCUGGUGAGGUGGAAGUACAGUUUGUUGUUGGUGUGUUGUACUGAAAACGACUGUAGUGUUUUGCAGUAUGACCCAUGCGGUCACACAGUUGGCACUUGGGAGAAAAACGACGUGGUCCAUAAUUUUUGUUGCUGUCUCUCGGGUUGCUAGGCUGGCGAUAGUGAGCUGGAGGUUUGUUUCUUUGGCCAUAUGACCUGUCAACGAAGUGGGGCUUUGGGGCAGAUUUAAAAGACUGAUUGUCUUGACCAUAAGAAGCCCGUCGGUGCAUGUAGUUUGCAGAAGCAAUUAGUGGAUGGGAGGAGACUUCAAGGCGACGAAGAUAUGCAUCAUGACUGACAAGGAGAUCAUGAAGUUCCUCAAAAGUGAGUGGUCGUUCUCGGGCGCGAAUAGGACCUGCAAUUUCACGAAAAUCAGUUCCCAGGCCAUUUAGGAUAUAGAGCGUUAGAUCAUCUUCAAAGAUUGGGUGAUCUAUGAGGGAGAUUUCAUCUGCCAACGAUUUUACAGAGUGAAGGUAUGUUUGAAUUGACUGGUUGCCCUUCUUUAUCAUUGUGAGUUCUUCUUUAAGUUGCAUUGCUCUGGUUCUGGACUUGCUUGCAUACAGAGUAUGUAAUUUAUGCCAUGCAUCCUUUGAUGUCUUGGCCAUUGAAAUGAGAGGAGUGAUGACGGUAGAUGUAGAUGUCAAAAUGGCACUGAGGAUAAGCUUAUCUUGCCUUAUCCAUUGAGUUCGUUGGACAGCACAAAUUGAUGUGCUGGUGGGUAUGGGACAGAUUUUUUCUCCAGUGACAUAGUCAAGAAGAUCAUACCCGAUGAGUAAGGCUUCAAAUUGAGCGCGCCAUUGAAGAAAUGUAGAGGGGGUAAGUUUAUCAUUUAUCUGGGAUGUGAUGUUGAGGGCAAUCAGGGGUGUUUCAGUUGGAGAGGGUGGAGUUGAGAUUGGAUUAUGAUUGUGAGGGAUCAAAUUCUCGUUGGAGAUUUCUUGCUCUGAUACCAUGAUGAAGAUAGGAAGUUUUUAGAGAAUUGAGCUAAUUGAUAAACUUCAGAAUAGUAUGUAUUUCGUUAUUUUGAAUAAUACAACUGUUAACAUAUAUAUACACAGGAUUGCAGGUUUGAAUUUAGAAACAAAGCUAAGGUUGCGUCUUAGCAUUUACAAUGCAUUUACAGUGAAGAUUUAUUUGCCGUUACAAGCUUGAUAUUAGGCUUGAGUGAUGGUUGCACAAUCCUGUGCAGGGGGCAAGGGAUUAUUUGCUGAAUCUGUGGGGAUUUCCUUUAUAAACCGAUAUCCAAGUUUUUAUUUCAGCAAUUUAGCUCCUCUAAGUCAAAGCUUGAAGAUUUCAUGCAAGGCUAUUUCUUCUUUUUUAGGAAAAUAGUUAUUGAAGUACUUAAAUGUAAACAGUCUACUUAAUGGAGGACUAUUUUGUAAAAUAGAGACCUAGGGUUUCCUAAGAUAUAAGCAGAAAAGAGGGAGAGCAGAAGGAGACAGCAGCCAGCAGAGAAUAAACACAAAUUCUCUCCUCUACAAACCCAAAAAUCAUGCUUUUUUCAUUCUUUAGAAGUAGUUGUUCAAUAGUUAUGCAAGACUAAGCUCUUUUCUUGGUUGCAAGGACACAACAAACCUUCGGAUUUCAAGAACCGUGAGAUUUAUUCUUCCUUUUAUUUUCAGUUUAUGUUAUGAAUGAGUAUGAUUGUUUUCCUAUGCAUAUUUCCUAUGAUUGUUAUUGAUGAUUGCUAGAGCGGACUCUAAGUUAUUGUUGUGAACAAUCUAUUGCUAAGUUUAAUAUCAAAACCGGAGUUGUGAUAUAUGAACUUGUGAAGCAACUAAGCUUGAUAAUUGUGGCGGAACUACGUUAUUGAAUUUAGGGAGAACAUUUGAACAAAGUGACACAAGCUGCGGACAGCUUGUAUGUUAAUCUUGAUGAAAUUAUCUAGUUCUUAAAGCUACCAUUAAAUUGAAUCAUUAGUGCGGACACUUUGAUUGUUUGUUGGUUAGGAUUAGUUAUACGGCGGAUCCGUUAAUUAAUCAACGUUAAGAAAAGAUAAAAUUUCAGAACAUAAACUGCAAUUUUCGUUUCAAGGAUCGGUUCUAAUUUCCGUUGGUGGAUGUGUGCUUGCGACCAAGAUUUGUUUUCUUGAUAAGUUUUGGUUUUAAUUGAUUUUGUUUGCUAGUUUAAUUGCUGCCAUAGUUUAGAUAAUCACAAACCAAAUCCCCCCCAAUUACAUAACGUACAACAUAAAAAUCUGACUUGAAACUUCCUCAUGGGAUCGACUCCUUACUUGCUCUAUACUAUCUUGUGUGUUUUAAGCUAGGUAAUUAAUUUGUGCGACCGCGACAUCGCAACACAUAACAUUUCAAUGCGCACCAUAUCACAUAAGGAAAAAGCCCCAAGCUUACCAAAAAAAUAAACAAGGUAAAGAAGAAAAAGGAAACUUACCAGUACAAGGCAUCAAUAUUGUGGUUCAUGCAAGCAAUGCAGCCAUUAUCAAGGAAGUUAUUAGCAACAGAAGCAUCGAGGGCCUGAUGAUAUUGCCUAGUCAAUUCAACCCUUCAUCCUAAUCCAGCACCAAGUGUCUCCAAAAUACAUUGAACAUCCACCUUAACCCCAUCGAUACCAGCUGCUGCCAAAUAACUAUGCAACUCAUUAUAAAACUUGGACACAUUUUUUGGAUUUACUAACCCUAAUCCCUACAACGCCAAUGCAUUGUUUUUCCAUGUGGGCUCAUUCUCCACCACCCCCUUUGACACCAUUGGAUACUUCAUCAUUGACCCAUAUUCCUCCAUCACCUUGACUCCUGGAUAGACCCCACCCCAAUAACCAGUAAUAGCAUGCCACACAUACACAUAUUUCAACCCGUGUUUUUCUUUAGCUGUAUUCACUAUGCUCUUGAUCCCCGCUGCUGGAUCAUCUUUCUUCUGGAACUUUGCGUUCUCUUUAAUCCCAGUCAACCUAAGCAACAGUUGCUGAUCUUAUUUCUUCACAUCUUGACAUUGGUUUCCUCUUCUGGGUCACCACCAACUAAUUGCCAUCCAUCAUCAAUGAUCACAAAUUUCGGCGGGGUACCACCAGAAGCUAGACUUUGUAGCCCAGCUUCUACCCCUUCUUGAGUCACUUCUUGAUAAAAGGCAUCCCAGGUACACCAACCAAAAUGAUCAAUAAUUCCAGGCAAUCCUUUCUCAUGCGUUUUUUCCCUUGACUAGCCGUUCUCCUCUUCUCUAUGCUCUCUACCUUCUCUUUUUUUUUUUUUAUUAUAUCCUAGGAAAUCCUAAUCUCUAUUUUACAAAAUAAUCCUCCCUUAAGUAAACAGUUUUCAUUUAAGUACUUCACUAACUAUUUUCGUAAAGAAGGAGAAAUAGCCUUGCAUGAAAUCUUCAAGCUUUGACUUAGAGGAGCUAAAUUGCUGAAAUAAAAACUUGGAUGUCGGUUUAGAUACUUCGGAACGCAAUUUGGACUCGUUUCUUCACGAAACCUAUUUGUUGGCAGAAUUCAGUUUUCAUCUUUGAAAAUUCAUAUCUCCCUCAUAUGACAUCUGUUUUGGCUAAAAUUUGGAGCAUGGAUAGCUCUUUGAGUCAGGAAUCUAAAACAAUUGAGUGUGCAUCAAUUGGACUUCUGUAGCUCCAGCUACUCAAGUUCGAAUGACUAAAGGUCAACACUGACAGAUUGCGAGAUUUUACUUUGAAGGCUGUGAUUUCCAUGCUCUUCCUUAUUUUAUUUACUUCACUGUAUUAGAAUCACUUCAUUUCGACCUCUAGAGCUCACGCUCUGCACAAAACAUCGACUGAAGGUUAAAUCUGCCAAUUACCUCAAAUUUACUCUUUUUUGCAUUUUUCAUCCAAAAGUGCCUUCAAAACAUAAAACAAAGAAUAUCAAGAUAUUUUAUAUAUAAAACAUAAGCAAAACACUAGUUAAAUGUAGGUGAAACUAUCGAAUAAUAUAGUUGCAUCAAAUACCCCCACAUUUAGCUCUUGUUUGUCCUCGAGAAAGGAUAGAUAAAAUCAAAUUGAAAAUAACUAUGACCAAUCUCUUAAUCUCUCAUCAAUCUCCAAGAAUAUAUGCAUAUAAACUAGAAUACAAUCAAGAAGGAUAGAGAGUAUAGAUUUUCAUGAAUUUAUUUACAUGCAAAUUUCAAAACUCAAUUAAUCGUCAGGAUUUAAAUGAAAUAUAUGUCAUGCCAAAGUGAUAGGUCCUCUCAUUGAUAUACACUCCAACACUCACGUGUUGAGGGCUUAUGUGUUAAAUCUCUCAAAUUCAAUCAAUGAAUAUGUUCUACCAUAAGCUUGCUCUUCAAUCUCAUCUUCAUUGCCAACAUAUUACAAGCAAUGCAUGAAUCAAAAUGUUUUAUUUUCCGGUUGUAAUGGGGUUAAGGUUAAGGUGAGGUAAAAGAGAGUAAAAGAAAACGUUCAAACCAAAAAAAGUAGAGCAUUCUGAAAAAUGAUAUUUCAAACAAGAUAUUCCAUCAAUGCACAUAAAUUUUCCAUCUUUAAUCACCAAUGCUUAACUUCUUUUGAUUUCAAGCUCUUUCAAUAUAAAAUCUUAAGAACAUAAAGGAACACUUUUUUUUCUUUUUCACCUUCGGCAACUUUGCCCAUCUUUUCAUCAAGCAUCACUUCUUCUUUCUUUUCAUAUAAUUUCCAACCAUAAUUCCAUGAGAUAUCACAAGUAUAUGCUCUACUAAUCCUUGGCUAGGGGAAAAGGAAAACAUAUAAAAAGUUAAGGCUUAUACAUGGAUAAAGCAAAGAAAAGAUAAAUAAGCUCAAAAGGGGCUCACUAAGGAUAAUAUGCUUUAGGUUGACUUUUUAGCUCAAGUGGUUAAAAUUCUUAAUGCCUUUAUCAUCUUCAUGUAUAUAUGUAAUGCAAAUGUAAUCUCAACAAGAUAUGAAGCAAGUUCUAAAGAUACACAUCAUUGAAAGAAUGCACAAUCAAAGAAUAUAAUGUUGAAGGCUCAAAAUCUUGCAUUGGAUAACACUAUAAAGUCAACAUGACAUAUUUUCAAAGUCAAUCCCUAAACCAAUUAAACGUUAAAACUUGCAUGCACACUCAUUCAUUCGAUUUAUAUCUUCAUCUAUCUCAAUUAAUUCUCAUAUUCUUAUAAACCAAUGGGAGUUCAAAAAGAUCAAACAUAGAAUUUUUUUUUUUUUUUACGCAACAAAGAAAACCAAAAUUCUCUCAAUACCCCCACACUUUAAACGCAACAUUGUCCUUAAUGUUGAAAUAGAAGAAAAGGAAUAGAAGAGAAUGACAAAAAUAAAGUAAAAUGUGAAAAAUAAAAGAUAAAGGAAAAAGAAAGGAAAUCUGAUUUUUUUUGUUUUUGUGUGCUGGGUUAACUCCCAAUAAGCGUUUUUGCUUUAUGUCAUUGGCUCGACACAUCGCAUGCUCAUGCUUCAUAAAUUGGUUCAGUUAACUCCAUUGAAGCGGUGAUUUCUGUCGUCCAACCUUCAUAAACUCAUAAUUUCAACUGCACCAUAAGGAAAAACAUUAGAAACAAUAAAAGAUCCAAUCCAUCGAGAGCGUAACUUUCUGGGAAGCAUUUUUAAACGCGAAUGAUAAAGUAAUCAUUCGGUCAUGAAGACUUUUGAUCUUUUCUAUGUAAAUCCUUGCAUUCUUGUAAGCAUCAUUCCAUAUCUCUUCCAAUAUAAUUCCAGUCUUUUUGGGCACCAAAAGGAUAGGCGCCACCCAUUUACUAUCCGUGAUGGGAUAAAUGACUCCUGCAUCAUAGAGGAUAGUUUGCAAAACUUGCAAAGCCAAUGCUGAUUCCUGCAUGUUUUGGGGAACACAUAUAUUCCUCUCCAUCUUUUUUAUCUCGGUUAAAUCAUAGUCAUAGCUCAAAGCCACGCUUAAUCCAUCCUCACAAUCGAAAUCAAAAACUUGUUGCACACACUUAUCAACUUGGUCAUAGCAUGUGAUAAAAUAAACAUUGCUAUAAGGAUAUUUCAUUGCAUCAUAAAAAUUAAAUUUAAUAUUUUCAUCUCCUACCUCCAUGGACAAAGUAUCCUUACAUAAUCAAUUUUGGUAUUGGUUGUUUUCAAGAAUGGUCUCCCAAACAAUAUAGGAGUGUUGUUUGAUGAAUCACAAGAAUCACGUUCCAUAUCAAGAAUAUAAAAAUCACAUGGAAUAACCAAACUAUCAAUCUUGAGUAGGACAUCUUCUAUCACACCAAGUGGAUAAACAAAACUACGAUCUGAAAGUUGUAUUACAAUACUAGUUUUAUUCAAAGGUUCAAGACUAAGAGAAUCACAAACAUGUUUAGGUAUAACACUGAUGGAUGCACCUAAAUCGCAUAAGGCCCUUUUAAAACUAGCAUUACCAAUAACACAUGGGAUAGUAAAUGCACCUGAGUCUUUUUGCUUCAAAGGCAUAUUCUUUUGAAUAACAACAAAUACAACUUCACCCGUACUUACCAUUUCAUGGCCUUUUAGCUUGAAGGCUCUCUUGGUAGUACACAACUCCUUCAAGAAUCUGACAUGCUUGGGAAUUUGCUUGAUAACAUCAAUCAAAGGAAUGUUGAGUUCCACUUUCUUCAAAACCUCUAAAAUCUAUUUUUCUUUAUCCUCUUUCUUAGACCUAGAAGAACUCGUAGGAAAGGGAGGAAUUGUUUUAAAACUGGAAUUCAAUGAGGGCUUACCUUUGCAGUGUUGGUCAUUGUUUCAAUUUGUGGAGGAGGAGGAUGUUUCUUCUUUGUACUCAAUUCGGUUUCUAUCUCUUCUUCUUCCUCCAUUUUAAUUUGUUUCGACCUUUGCCUUUCAAGUUCUUUCCCACUUCGCAACAUGAUCACACUAACAUUCUCCUUUGGAUUCAAUGUUUGGGAGGACAAUUUUCCAUUAUUUGUGCUUUCAAUUUCCCUACACUUGAAGCUAUUUGCCCCAUUUGCUUCUCUAAUUUGUGAAUACUUGACCUUAUUUCCUGUUGAAAAGACAUGAUAUUUUGUUGUAAGGUCACUGUGUUAGAAGCCAAAGUUUUCAUCAUCUCACGAAGAUCAUCAUUGGAUGACGACCCCAUAACAUUGGAGUUUGUGAAUGGAGGGGGUUGUCUUGCUUGAUAAUUCUGUUGGGGUUGUCUUGCUUGAUAAUUCUGUUGGGAUUGAAAUCCAUGGGGAUGGAACUGUCGACCUUGACUGCCUUGUUGAGGCGGGUUCCCAUAGUGUAAGUUGGGAUGAUCUCUCCAUCUAGGUUUGUACAUGUUGGAAAAGGGAUCAUAUUACAUUGGGGUUGUCCGUUAAAUGCUCCAUCAACUGCACGAGCCUAUUCAAUAUAAUCUUAUUGCAUUGUUGAGCACAUAUCUGAGGUAUGUCCUUGUAAGGAACAUAUGCUACAAACUUUCACCUGCUGUACAUUUCCACAAGCCAAAGAAUGCAUAAGAAAAGUAAGACCAUUGACUUUAUUUUCAACGUUAGAAAUACUUACCUCAUUUACUCGUUUGUUUGAGAAGUCUCCACGGGUGCCAAAUUGUUUCGAGUUGGCUACCAUGUUUGAGAUCAAUUGGCGUGCAGCCUCGGGUGUCUUAUCUACCUAUGCCCCUCCACUUGCAGCAUCAAUGAUACUACAGUCAGUAAGCAUCAAUUCUUCAUAGAAAUAUUGAAUGAGUAGCUAAUCGGGUAUUUGAUGAUGAGGACAUUGAAUGCAGAGUUGCUCAAAUCUUUCUCAAUAUUUGGAGAGUGUCUCUCAAUGAGAUUGCCGAAUCCCACAUAUUUCUUUUCUUAUGUUGGCAACUCGAGAUGCUGGGAUAUAUUUUUCAAGGAAUAUCUUCUUCAUGCCAUUCCAAGUUCCAAUAGAACCUGGGAGAAUAGAGAAAAGUCAUGCCUUUGCUGCCUCUUUUAAAGAGAAAGGGAAAGCUUUCAACUUAACCUGUUCUUCGUCAACUCCAUUCGGUUUCAUGCCAAUGUAAACUAUAUAGAACUCCUUGAGAUGAGUAUGAGGAUCUUCUCCUACAAGACCAUUGAAUAUUGGUGGCAAAUGUAUAAAACCAGAUUUGUGCUCGAAGUUGACAUUAUUGUCGAUGUUUAUGCACAAUGGUUGAUUUUCCACUUUAGGAGCAGCAAGCUCCUUGAGUGUUUCCUGUUGUGCAACAACCAUGGUGUUGACACGAGCUUCUUUUUGUAACCUGCGUAAAGUGUUUUGAAUUUCAAGAUUUACCUGCACUUGUCUUUGGUUAGUAGAACAGGUUACAAGCAUAAAUCGUAAAGAAAACUCAAAAGAAAGCGGCCACACAAGAGAUUGAAACAAUGUAAUUUGAACAAAAAUCCUAUGCUAGAAAACUAAAACUACCUAAAAAGCCUAGAAAACAACAGAAUUUGGCCUCGAUAGGGUGGAGCUAGUGGCUAAAAGCCACUAGUCCUGUUCAAAAUGUUGUUUUUCUUUAGGAAACAAAAGGCUAGGUCCUAAUUCCACUAAAAAAAUUGUUUUGAAUAGUACCGCUGCCGUAAAUGAACAAUACCGCAGCAAGCAAAAAUUCUGUUUCUCUUUUUUUUUUCUCUAAAAAAUAAAUAACAAUCACAACAAAUAAAAAUAAUAGCACAAGAAUCAACUAAAAUUACUUCCCCGACAACAGCACCAAAAUUUGUUGCGAUGUUGCAGUUGCACAAAUUAAUUACACUAGCUUAAAACACAACACACAAGAUAGUAUAGAGCAAGCAAGGGGUCGAUCCCAUGAGGAAGGUUCAAGUCAGAGUUUUAUGCUAUAUGAUAUGCAAUUUGGGGGGGGCGGGGGUUGAAAGUUAUCUAGGCUAAAGCAAAAGAAAACAAAAAUCUAUCAAGCGAAAAUUAAAUAAAAUCGAAUGUUCUCCCUAAGAUUACUAAUUUGGAUCCGCCACAAUUAUUAAUCUCAGUUGCUUCACAAGUAUUUAUACGACAACUCCAGUUUUGAUAGCAAACUUAGCAAUAGAUUAUUCACAAUAAUAACUUAGACCCCGCUCUAGCAAUUAAAAUAAACAAUCAUAGGAAAUAAGCAUAGGAGAAACAAACAUAUUCAUUCAUCAUAGACACUGAAAAGAAAAGGUAAAAUAGAUCUCACAGUUCUUGAAAUCUAAAGGUUUCUGUGUCCUUGCAACCAAGAAAAGAGUUUAGUCUUGUAUGUCUAUUAAACAAUUAAUCAAAAAGAAGAAAGAAAACAUGAAUUCGGAUUUGUUAGAGGAAGGGGGUGUUUUUCUCUCUUCUGGCCAUCUCCUCUUCUCCCUUCUCUCUUUCUUUUUAUAUCCUAGGAAACCCUAGUCUCUAUUUUACAAAAUAGUCCUCCCUUAAGUAGACAGUUUACUUUUAAGUACUUCACUAACUAUUUUCCUAAAAUAGAAGAAAUUACCUCACAUGAAAUGUUCAAGCUUUGACUUAGAGGAGCUAAAUUGCUGAAAUAAAAACUUGGAUGUCGGUUUAGAUGCUUCGGAACGCAAUUUGGAAUCGUUUAUUCACGAAACCUAUUUGUUAGCAGAAUUCAGUUUUCAUCUUUGAAAAUUCAUAUCUCCCUCAUAUGAUAUUAUUUUUGGCUGAAAUUUGGAGCGUGGAUAGCUAUUUGCAUCAGGAAUCCAAAACAAUUAAGUUUGCAUCAAUUGAACUUUUGUAGCUACACCUACUCAAGUUGGAAUGGCCAAAGGUCAAUAUUGACAGAUUGCGAGAUUUGACUUUGAAGGCUGUGAUUUCCAUGCUCUUCAUUAUUUUAUUUUCUUGCCUUAGAUGUCCAGAAAGGUAUGGAUGUUAGCUUUUUAAUGCCACUGGAAUCACUUUAUUUCAACCUCUAGAGCUCACGCUCUGUACAAAACAUCAACUGAAGGUCAAAUCUGCCAAUUACCUUCAAUUUACUCCUUUUUGCAUCUUUCAUCCAAAAGUACCUUCAAAACAUAAAACAAAUAAUAUCAAGAUAUUUUAUAUAUAAAACAUAGGAAAAACACUAGUUAAAUAUAGGUGAAACUAUCGAAUAAGAUGGUCAAAUCAGCACACAUCACUUAAAGUGUGCAAAGUGGCAUCACAUGUCGGCGCGUGCAUCACCAACAACUUUUCUUUUAAAAUAUUAUUUAGUCUUUUGAAAAUACAAAAUUGCACUUGACUUGACUUGAUAAUCACAAAAAAACCACAAUGAAAAGAUAAAUAAGCCCUUAGAUCCAGUUUAAAAAACUCUAAUUCCAAUGGUAACUAAUUAAAUUCAUCUUGCAUUUUUAAGCAAAAAGAUGAAUUUGCCCCUAAAUCUAAGUUAGAUUUAUUUUGAUUUCAAGGAUAUUCUAGUCAUUACAUUGUAUAAAAAAGAGUAAAAAGUAAUUCUUUAAUCUCAAUCAAUAUAAUAAUGAUUGAUUGGUCCUAAUGAAAUUAUUUUAAGGUUAAUAAAGUAAUUACACUAUUCUUGUACACAAUGCAUUAAGUCUAGGUGCGUAGUGAAUUCACUACCCCAAUUAGUUUUUUUAUUUAUUUAAUUGGAAUCAUUAAGUUUAAAUUGAAUGAUCAUGAUCUAGUUUAUGAUAAUAAUAAUAAUAAUAAUAAUAAUUUAACUUUUAAAUAUUUUAUUUAUCUCAUUUAAUUCAUCAAUGAAUUAAAAAAAUGGCACACUUGAAAUAUGACUGAUUAUAUUUUAAGAAUACGAGAGGAUUGAAAUUCAUAUUGUGAGACAUGAAAUUAUAUAAUUUAAGUCUUAACAAACAUUCCAAUGCACAAAGUAAUAGUGAUAAUAAUUACAUUUAUUAAAAUACUAUUAUGAUUUUCAAAAAUAGUUUUUUUUUAUUAACGUAGGUGUCUAGGCCAGGUUGCACGCACCUCAACUAAUCCCUCAAGCCCUGAAGUUAACGACCAUAUAAAUCUCUAGUGGUCUUGAGAGGACUUGAACUCGUGAUCAUUGGAGAUAUGUCCAUAUGUUUUUAAUUGUAUCUAUUAUGUCCCUUAUAUAAUAUGUAAUUCUCUAAUAUAUAUUUUUAGUUGAGUUGUUUUUUAAAAAAACAUUAUGCAUUAAUUAAGGAUUUCUUAAUUUAUUAAUUUUUUUCUUAAGUAAUUUUUUUUAAAAUAUUAAUUAGAAAACUAAUAUACUCAUCAAAACAAUAAUUAGUAAUACCAGAUUGUAUUGUUUCUUGCAUUAUAUAGUAUACUGAUAAUGAAAUUUUUUUUAUUAGCUCACUUUUAAAUUAUCCUAAAGCAACUCCAAUAUGAAAACAAAUGAUGAGUAUUAAUAAAUAAUACAAUAGAGUAGCGUAAUUAUAGUGGUAGAGAUAAUAACAAUAACUUUGUUUUCUAAAAAAAGUGUAAUUAUAGUGUCAUUAUAUUAAAAUAUCGUAAUAAUCAGAGGUUCUUUUCAUUCUUCAUACUUAGUAAAAAUAAUUUUUUAAAAAAACAAUUAUCUUAUAAUAAUUUUUGUACAUUAAAUUAAUUUUUUUAAAAAAAUUUGACUUAUUUUUAGCAAAAUUAUAAAUCAUGAUUUUAAGUCAAAAUAUUCACAAAUAUGUUAUUAAGUUACGUUGUAACAUAUCAAGAUUGAGUUCUUUCUGCUAGAUGAACUCAUAAGUUUCUCCACGAAGAUAUAACGAGAAAGCAUAGGUCAAAGUUUUAAGUGACAUUAACAAAUACAAGUUAUUGACCAGGUCAACUCUCUUUUUGUUUUUUGUUUUUUUUUUUGAAGAGAUUUCUUGAAAAGAAAAUUAGUUUUUUUUAAAAAAAUAUUACUUAAUUAAACAUAAUAAACACCAAUAAAAAAAAUAUUAUCUUACAUUAUAAGAAUUAAUUAAUUAAUUUAUAUAAAUUAGAAAUACUAAGUUAUAAUAAAUUAGAUCCAACCGUAAUUGGAUUGAAAAGAAUCACAAUGAUAAUAAUAAUAAAAAAGAGAAAAUAUCCAAAAAAAAUAGUAUUUAACAGCAACAUGGAUCCUAAAGGCUAAAGUCCAUAUAUAUACACACACACUCAUAAGAAGAAGAAAAAAGAAAGAAGCUAUCGUGCUUUCCUAUCUCCUUAAAAAUUUCAAAUCCUUAAACAAAAUGUUUCCCUUUUAGGUCUAAUUAUGGUGUUGGGUUUGCUUCCAAGCCCAAAAUCGAUCUCUCUCUAGUUUAAUCAUAGAAAAAUCAUAACACCCUUGAUAUCAGGAUGAUUUCAAGAAACUAAGGUUAAAAACCUAAAAUAUCCCUUGACUUUAGACAAAACAAUUAACCCCUAGGGUUAUAUGGUAAUUAUACUGUAUAAAAAAGUGAAAAUCUAAAAAUAUCCCUUAAACAUUAACUAUGUUUUUUUUUUCAAGGGCAUGAGAAUAAUUAUAUAGUGUUCAAAAUACAAUUUUAGAUCUCAGCAUGUGUUUUUUUUUUUGUCACUAUAUAUAACUUAUCAUUAUUAUAUUAUGCACAAUCUAUAAUAAAAUAUUGAUAAAUUUUAUUUUUAUUUUUAAUUUAAAAAUUGACCGAAGCAUCCUGAUCUUUUUUUUUUUUUUAGUUUAACGUGGGUGUCCGGGCCAGCUUGCGCGCACCUCGACUAAUCCCACUGGCCCUGAAGUUAACGACCAUGUAAGCCUCCAGUGGCCAUCAUAUGAGCAACCACAGGGCUUGAACCUGAGACCACAGAGGGAGCAAACCUCUUGGUCCCAAACUCUUACCACUAGGCUACCACCUAGAUGGUUAGCAUCCUGAUCUUUAAAAGAUAUGCUCGGACAUUCUUGCCAACACCUAUUUCAUAUUAAUGGAAAAGGGCCCAUCUAAUGAGAUAAUGACAGAAGCAAAGAUCCCAUUAAGUGGAUUCAAAGUGGCAUAAACUCACCUAUAUCGGUCAUAGACCUUUGGCAACCCAUCGCACCCUCGUCACGGCGUUAACAUCCGUCUUGGACUGAGGGGCGCGAAAUCGGGCCUACUUUUUUUUUUAAGAGCAAGUCUCGCCCUGCCUAUCCCCUAAAAACUAAUUUACUGAAGUAAGGUCCGCCCUUUACCUUUAGGUCAGAAUGCCGCUAUCGCUACUUUUUUUACUCUUUAAAAAAGAGUUCCGUGACUUAUGUGUAGCCUAUAUGGCGAACAAAGAAAAAAAAGCUCAAACAAAGCAAAGGGGCGCUCAUACACUCUCCGUUCUGUAGUGCCCCUAGCGCAGCGCUCAAACAAGCCCUCUGAUCCUGAGGUGAGGGUGCGAUGCCUAUCGAAAUCACAAAAGGUGUAAAAUCGAAUCCGCGUUAAAUGAAAAAUGUCUUGGCAUUGGCUGAUUCCGUUAACCUUCCCCGAUUGACAGAACAUCCAGCUACUGAUACUUGAAAAAGCAGCUUAGCUUUUAAGGUCUCAUUGCUUCAGUGAAUCACUUGAGCCCUGGUACAUUUUCGGUGCCAUGGAGCUGGACCACUGAGCUAUUACGCUUUCUUCAAAGGAUGAGUGUAUAGGACGUAUGAGGAGUCUCGCUCUGUAGCCUAGUUAAUCUCUACCAUUGGGCCUAUACCGCCAAAGCCCAAUACUGCAGAGGAAAUUAAGUGAAGUAGUCGACAAAGAAAAGAAGAUUAACAACACCUUAUGGAGAUGGCUUGCCGUAUUUCUAUCUCGGCCCCAAAAAAGUAGUUAACCUACGAUUGACCUUUAUAUCGUCUACCUCCAUCUCGCAUGAGAAAUCGAAUUCGGGGUGAUCAAAACUAUCCAACGGACUUAGCUCUAUGUCUGAGUUUAGGUUUUUCUCUUUUUUAGCUGCAUGCUCUUGAAUUAGUGAUUCUUAGCCCUCCUAGCAGACAAAAUCAAAACACCGAUAGCAGGAAGCACCUUUCUUGAAAAUUGAGGUAACAUUAACGAUCCUCUUCUUAAAUUAAACAAGCCAGCAGACAGAAUCGCAAGUCGUUGUCUCACCAUUCCUACUAAGUUUGUGGGUUUCCUGCUUUCUUCGCUUCUAAAUUGCAUUAUACAUUACAUAUUUUAAUCCUUUACACCAAUUACAUAAAACAUUCCUUUCAUAGGUAUCUCAAAUUUAAAGGCGAUCCUCUUUUGGAUCCUUUCUAAAAGUGUAUUUCAAUUCUUGCUCAUUCAAAGAUAUUGCUUAUUCAAUUCUUAACAUGGGUUUGUUCUUGUUCAAUUAGAGAUAUGAAUUUAGUCCCUCGCUCUCUUUCUCCAUUUAAAAUCUUGAAAUUGAACUCAAUAGUUACUUAGGUUCUUAUUUUUCUUGUUGAUGUUGUUUUGUUGUUCCAAAGGGUUAGAUAAGAUAAAUAAAAAAGAAAAAGAAACAGAAGUUAGAUAAGAGAAAAGUGAAAAGAAAAUCAAAUAAAAUAAAAUUUAUACAAUAAUUUACCUCCCCGGCAACGGCGCCAAAAACUUAACACGAUCAAAGAGUUGAUGUCUUAUCCCAAGUGCAGGAGUAUCAAUGUAAUAAAUAACCCGGCAAGACCGGGCUCGAUCCACAGGGAUAUCAACUGUAUAAAUUAUAAAUAAUAUAUAUAAUUUAACAAAGAGUUAAAGAGAUCUUUGAGAUGUGAGAUUAAUGUGAGGAUUAAACAAUGAUAAAAACAAUUGUCAAGGUUAAAGGAUCCACUAAUGGUAUUAGAAAUAAAUAUAGUAUAAACUCUUUUUAUUACUCAACUGGAAACCAUACACAAAGAAGGUUCCAAUCGGAUGAUUUAUCCUUAAUAGUUCAUUAUAAAUUUUUAACAUGAUCAUAUUAAUUAUCUUAUUUUAGUAACACCAUACUUUUAAAUAUUAUCAGGAAUUCUUGAUGUUAACUUAUGUUAACAACAAAUCAAGUUCCUCUCAUAACAACAAUGUCGGCCGAAGACUAUGAAGGAUCAAGCAUUUAUUGUACCAAGUGUUAUACAAGACAAAUCUAGAUUAAUUAUUUAACAAGUAAGGUAUUAAGAAUUAGUAAGAUAAAAAGAUAAUACAUAUUAAUAACAAACUUUCUUGGAUAUAAACAUUGAAGUUCAUGUUGAGUUUAUAUUAUACAUAUUCUAACAUCAUUAGUAAAACAUUUUCACCUUGACAAAUUAAACUUAGCUAAACAUUAUGAAGAAGAGAAACAUAAAUAAACAAGUUAAGAACAUAGUUAUGAUACAAGUUAACUAAGUAUAGGAAAGGAAAUGAAAAGCAUAGACAAGAGAUUAAUAUAACAUGAAAGAAAACUUCAACAUUACAAAGAGAGAAAGAAAGAAAAUGAUCUUGAUAUGAACACCAAGAUGCCUAAAUGUAUGACAAAUACCUCUUUUUAUAGGCCAAAAAAAAUUAUUCAUUUGGUAAUUAACUAUUGAAUUAGUGGCCAACUAAUGACUUAGUGGACUUGGUGGUUUAGGUAUGGAUUUGUUUUCUGGACGAAAUGACAUUUCCACAAUCCAAAUUUGGCAAAGUGGUUUCAUACAAGUUGUAGGUAUCUGUAUUAGCUUUCCACCAAGAAGAAUGAUCUCAUUUGGACUUCUAGAACCUGAGAUAUGAACUAAAUAGUGUCUGGGCUGCAGGGCAGAUUCGGACUUCUCUUUUGAUGCUACGAUUUGGACUCCAAAACAGAAAAAUUGAGUCUUAGACUCUUCAUGAAUGUUUUAGGUCUAUGUCUUAGCUUUCUAUCCAUAUAAACCAAACUGAAAUCCAAGAUCUACAUCUCCAGAUAUGACCCAAUGAUUAAAUGGUGUUCUAGUUUGAAUUGAACUAGCAUCUCUUUUCUAAACUUAGCCCUUCUUUGUCCUUUCACUUUCAAUAGUUAAUCACAUCAAACAAUCCUUUGAAUUAUGAGAUAUACCUGCAUUUAAAAUGAGCAUUUACCAUAAAUUAAAGCUAUCUUAUCUUAUCAGACUUGUUAUUAUAAAACAUGCUUAAGUUAGGGAAUUUAAUGAUACUUUAAGUGCAAUAUGAUGAUAUAAAUCCUUAAUGAGAAUGCACUUUUAAGUACUAAUCACUCACCGACUUGAUUUUUUUAUUUUCAUUGAAGCAAAUAAUGUCCUUGCUAGAAUCCAGUUGUCGUUGUGAGUUUUUCUUCAGUUUAAAAAUUGUUGCCCUGGUUAUAUUUUAUAAAGCCCGUUUAUGAUAAUGGACAAGUCCCAUCUGGGCUGGAUAGUUUUUGGAUCAUGUUGCUUUCUCAGCAGAUUUCUUAAGACAUAUGUAAGCAAGAGCUUGUUUAAUCUUACCAUGCUCAUAGUGAAUUUAGAUGAUUGUCUCCUUAAAAGUAAAUCAAGGAUUUUUUUAAUUCAAUUUCUAAUGCAAAUUUUGCUAACAACCAUGCAAUCAAUUAUAGGUCACAUGAUUAGCACUUCUUCUUUAUCACAAAGGCUAGGAGGCCUGUAAUGCCUUUACUGUCUUUAUGAGACUCAACCAUUCAAGCCUCCUUUCAAAAUCUACUUCUCUCUUAGUAUAUUUGCAUUUUCUGCAUGAACUUUAUCUUUAAUGUACUUAAUUUUGAGGUUUAGUUCAUUUUGAUGAGGUUGUACUAUGUGUCAUGCCAUAUUAUGAACUUUUUUCUCUAAUUUUCCUUGUUGCUUAUCUGAAUGGCAGGUGAUGUGAAAAUUACCUUUCAAAAUAAUUCUUUUAUUCUUCUUACUAUAAUUAAUUGAUUAUAUAUUAUUGUGUGAUAUUUGGUUGUUUUGAAUGAUUCUGGUAGAAUAAUAUUUAAUUAAAAUUGAAAGUUACCCCAGACAAACUACUUCUACAAGGUCUUAUUCUUACUCAUCAUUAUUGGUGUCAUGAAUCAUCUUUUCCAUUCCUUUCUUUAUGGGGCACUCUUGUAUUCAACCAUGAACAAACAUGGUUUUUACACUAUAUUGUCAGUGUCCUAGUGAUUAAUUUCUUUUAUUGGUUGGACUUUUUGGUUUAAAGUGAACAUGGUUAAGGGUUUUUCUUUGUGUUAACUCUCUCAUAUUUAAAAGCAUUUUAUUGCUCUUAUUCAUGCUUGAUCAUGUUGAGGUGAAUUUAGUGAUGAUAGUAAUAAUGAAGUUAUGAUUAACUGAAGUUUUGUUUUUCCUUUUCUUUUUUACCAUCUUAUUUCUUCUUGUUAUCUGACAGGAGAGUUAAAGAAACUCAAGACACUUGUUAUAAAUGCAAAAAAACAUGGAAUAAAAGUAGUACCUGCAUUGGUCAAAAGGAUGCUAGAAAAGAAUUGCAAGAUGCCCAUGUGCAAGUUGCACAUGGAAUAAAACUCAAGACACUUGUUUCUCUUUGGGUUUGUGGACUUGUAUAAAGGUUCUGUCAGUGAGACAGUGAAACAACUCACAGAAUUGCAAGAUGCCCAUGUGCAAGUUGCAUAUAAGAAGUAUGUUUCCUAAAAAUGAUAUAAUUUAUUCCAACCUAAUAGCAUGAUUAGUCAGGUUUCAGGUUUCAAAAUAUUUUAUGGAUCCUCUUAUUGCUCCACUGCUUUCUUUAUAACAGGUUAUUUGAUGAUACUCGGAUUGAGCAGUUCUUCCAUAUGGACAUGGUAUGUUGCAUAACUCCUCAUGUGAAGGUUUUACUCGGGUUCUAUUACUUUAGUAGUUGCAAAUAGGACCUGCCUUCUUUUCAUGUUUUGAAAAUAGUUUCUUAUAGGUAUAAUGAUUUUACGAUGCUCACAGUUGGUGCCAUAGUCUUUCUCUCUUCUUCUUUUUUCUUCUGAAUAAGCUUGUGGAUUGAACUGCAUGUGCAGGGUAUGGAAUUUGAUUUAGACAUGCUCAAGAAAAUGUCAACAGAAUAUGUAGAGGCGAAGAAACAUGGCAUCAUAGGUGAUUAGUACUUAAAAGUGCAUUUUCAUUAAGGUUUUAUAUAAUCAUAUUGCACUUAAGGUAUCAUUAAAUUCCCUAACUUGAGCAUGUUUUAUAAUAACAAGUCAGAUACAUAAGAUAUCUUUAAUUUAUGGUAAAUAUUCAUUUUGAAUGCAGACAUAUCUCACAAUUUAAAGGAUUGAUUGAUGUGUUUAAUUAUUGAAAGUGAAAAGACAAAGAGAAGGCUAAGCUUAAAGAAGAGAUGUUGGUUCAAUUCAAACUGGAACAUCAUUUGGUUAUUGGAUCAUAACUGGAGUUGUAGAAUAUGGAUUUAGGUUUGGUUUAUAUGGAUGGAAAGCUAAGACAUAGGCCUAAAACUUUCAUGAAGAGUCCAAGAUUCAAAACGGUCGUUUUCAAGUUCAAAUAGUAGCAACAAAAGAGAAUUCAGAAUCUGUCCUGCAGCCCAGACACUCUUCAGUGUUCAGCCCAUAUCUCGAGUUCUAAAAGUUCAAAUGAGCUCAUUCUUGUUUUGUUGGAAAGCUGAGACAAAUGCCCAGAACUUUCAUGAGAUUAUCUGUUCAAAUUAUGAUGUUAGCAAUGAUGUUUUGUUCAGACAAUAAGAUAAUGGUUGUUACCAAGUCAAGAAGUGGUCACCCACUCAAUAAUUAGUCAUCAAAUCAAUAGUUCCAAAUUUUAGCCUAUAAAAGGAGGAUUUUGCCAUAUAUUUAGACAUCUUGGUGUUCAGAUCAAGAUCACUCUCUCUCUCUUUGUAUUUUGUAAUGUUCAAGUUUUAUUUUAAGUUAUAUUAAUCUCUUGUUUAUGUUUUUCAUUCCUUUACUAUACUUAGUUAACUUAUAUCAUGUUUAUGUUCUUAUAUUGUUUAUUUAUGUUUUUCUUCUUCAUUAUGUUUAGCUAAGUUAAUUUUGUCAAUGUGAGAAGGGUACACUAAUAGUGUAAGAAUAAGUAUAAUAUAAACUCAACAUGAACUUUAAUGUUUGAUACUAACAUGUUUUGUAUUUGUUAUCUUACUCACUCUUAAUACCUUGCUUGUUAAAUGGUUAAUCUAGAUUUAUGUUGUACAACCCUUGGUACAACAAAUACUUGGCACUUUCAUAGCCUAUAUAUGGUAUAACCGACACUUGUGCUAUGAAAGGAACUUGAUUUGUUGUUAACAUAAGUUAUCACCAUGAAUACCUGACCACAUUUACAAGUAUUGGUAUUACUCAAAUAAGAUAAUUAAUAUAAUCAUGUUAAUAAUUUAUAAUCCGAUUGGAACCUCCUUUGUGUGUGGUUUUCAGUUGAGUAAUAAAAAGAGUUUAUACUAUACUUAUUUGAAAUACCAUUAGUGGAUCCUCUAACCUUGACAAUUAUUUUAUCCUUGUUUAAUCCUUACAUCAAUAUCACAUCUCAAAAGUUCUCUUCAACUCCUUUUCAUUUGUUGUUUAUAAUUUUAUAUAAUUCACCUCCCUAUGUUCAACCCCAGUUUUGUCGAGUUAUUUAUUACUUCGAUACUCCUGCACUUGGGAUAAGACAUCAAUCUUUUGAUCGUGUCAAGAGAUAUGUUCUUUUAUCUGUCUCAUAUCCUUAUUUAUAGGUUAGAGAUUGAAUAAGCAUCAAAUCGUGAAAGUAACAUGUGUAUUCUUCCUCAAUAACUUGUAUCUGUAUUGCCUAGCAGAGCUAGUGAUUUUAGUUGUUACCAAAUGCAAAACUAGUUUAUCAAUUCACUUUUUUUUAACACUAAGAAGCUACAUUUACUUGUCAGUGAUUUUUUGAAUUUAUCUAAUUAUUGAUUUUUUUGUUAUACUCUCCAAUUUUUUCUAAGAUAAAUGGCCGGGGUGGUAGAGUUUUUCUAAAUAUAUUUGAUUGCCUAGUUAUUUCCUUAACAGUUUGUGUUUAUUCUUACUAUUGAUUUGUUACUCAACCUAAAAAUUUCUCUGUGAUUUCUUAUCUAUAUCAUUUAUGGAGUUGUAUAAAUUUUGAAGCACAUAUCAUUUAUAGUUUAAAUUUCCAUUUCAAAAUUCAUUCAGUAUCUAAUAACGUAAUUUAUUUACCACACUUCUACUUGUUUUUGUGUUUUUUCAACAAAAGCAAUCAAGGUAGUAGAUGUCCAAAACAUACAGCAUAUAUCAGAUGAUAGGGAAUUUAUUGGAGAUGAAGUUGAGAUGAUCACAGAGAAUUGAAAUGUCUAAAGGCAAGUGUUUUACCAGCAAAUAGGACUAAAUCAAACCCAUGCUCAAAACGAUGAACAACAACAUCAACCACAACACAAAAAACAUGAACAACAAGAUGAUGAUUUUGGUGAUGAAUUUAGUCAUCAACUGGAACUGCAACUAAUUGAAGAAGAACAGCUACAACAAAAACAAGAGGAUCAUGAAUUGGAGCUGUAACUUUCUAUAAAACAACCCUAAUAAUGUAGCAACAAAAUGGUGAGGAAUUAUGUUACAAAAACUAGGACAAGUAGGAAUCCUAUGGUUUAGGACAUAAUUAUCUAGCAAGGUGAUCAUUCCAAUCGAGGAUGCUGCGGAAUUUUGUGAUUAGACUGCUGCAAUUCUAACCUCCAUUUAAGACCAUCCCAGAACCUUUUCAGUUUAUGAAAGAGAAAGCUGUUGGGUUUUCUGGAUAGGUUUUUCAAGUUACUGAAUUUAUUAUCAAAACACAAAAAAGAUAUCUCUGUAAAACAUUUGUCAAUAUAUGUUCAGAAUGGCAUCUUGAAACAGUUGGAUAAUUUUUACUGUUCUUCUUUGCCAUUGGUCUGCAUCCUCAUGAAGUCUAUAAACCUAGCUUUUCCAGUUCCAUUAGGCCCUUUGUCCCACCCUCUUAGCACCAAGAAGAUUGUUUUCCUGCUAAUAAAAGUUCAUAUUGGUUUUCUCUCGUUUAUUUUAGUCCACUGGAUUCAAGUUACUGUGUCACAAUCAUCUUUGGAUUAUUCAAUGUGUUUCAUUAUCAAUACCUCGUGAAUCAUGUUUCACUGAAGGAAGCAAUUGAAGUGUAUUUCUUUUUCUUUUAUGGUUUCAGCUGUUCUCAUUUAUGUUUAAUUAAUGAAAGGAGGAAACAUUAGUUUCUUCUUGAUCAUCACCAUUUUCAAUGAUUCAAAUUAUAUGAAAUGGCAUGGAGAUGGAUUUUUGCAAGAGUAAGUUAUUUGAGCUUAGCCUAGAACAGAGUAUUGAUUAAACAGGUAGAUAGCAAAAUUCUUAUUUGACCAUUCCCCCUCAAUUCCUCACAUGAUUACAUGAACUAGUAAACUACAGAGGGAAGAAAAUUUGAGGGGAAACAUGCAAGUACAAUAAAUACCCCAAUACCCAAACCUUCCAUAUAGCCCUUAACUCUAUUCAAACAGAAUUUUCCUAUGACUCAAUCUCAACAAUAUGAAGUUUGCCCUCCUCAGACAAGCUAUCCAAGCUAAAACCAACCAACCCAGAAUUCAAAUUAUACACAAAAUCAACCACAUUUGAGUCCACAAUGCACUUCCUUGGCUUAGCAAAUAAAUAAACAUCAAACUUGCCACACCUUUUAACCUCUAUGCAAACUUUCGCAACCAAUUCAUUGCUAUAGUUCCCCACCCUCUCUUCAGUCACACCACUACUUUCACCCCUGUAUCCAUCAUCAAGCUCUAAUAAUUCAGCACCACCUUUCACUUCAAACUUUAGCCCCUUAAUGGCUCCACCUACAUUGAACAUGUUAAUUAGCCCCAGGGGUACAAAGCUGAACCCAGGUGCUAAAACCUUGAUUGGGUGUUACAGUGAAAAUGUCAUGCUCAAGGACUUUGAGUGACACUGACAAUGCUGCAUUGUAAGGGAGGGUGAUUAGUUCUCCUGUCCGGUGAUAAUAGAAAGCACAAUUAUCAUCCCAGUUAGGGUCCGUGGCAACUUCAGUGAUGAGGUGAACAUCACGACCCCUAAUAGUGCCUGUUAGGGCCUCAAAUGUGGUUUGGUGGAAAGCGUUCUUUCUUUCAGUGCUGCUCCUUGGUAAUUGUAGACACCUAGGACCCCUGUGAACUUGUUCAUGCUAUAUAUUUUCCAUUGGUUGCAAUCAAAGAAAAACUGUUUAAGAAAUUCCUCAUAAUGCAACAUUUCUAGGAUAAGAAAUUAGCUAAAAUUCUUUGUUGUGGUUUAUUGUCUCUAUGAGAUUAGGAUCCUUCUUUCUUGGAUUUCUUAAUGCCAAAAAACAGCUUUAAUUAUUACCAACGGUAUAGAUAAGACCUUAUUAAGAUUCUAACGGUAAAUUUAUAUGCCACGUCGAAUCCACAAAAUACUAGUCCUUUUACUCGGUUAUAAGAACAUUGACUAUCAUUCCUUCACAGCAAGGUUCAUGUUUUUUCUAUGAAUUUAUGGCUCUUAGCUUGACGUGUAAUGUUUUGAGCAUGUACAGGUGGUGGUUAGGGUUUGGGUGCAUGGAGAAUACAAUGUAUCGUGUGUGGGUUGAUUUUUGUUUCUUUUAGUGCACCAAAACCAUUAUUAGUGCUGAUAUGUGUACAUGUACUCGCUUUUUGGCGUCUCUUUCUUGAAAGGAACAAUGAACCCCAUUUUUGUAAAAAAUCUAUCCUUCAAAUUCAGGACUGGAAAGCUGAAGCAUAUGCGGGCUGAAACACUGUAGCCCAAUCAUAGCAGGGCUUUAUUGUUCAGACAUUGAUACCAUAACCAAAUCAUUACUCAGAUCCAAGUUGGUCCAUGUCUAAGAGAGAUUGGAUCGCAUCAAGAAACAAAACCAUGGUUGUGAAACAAAUCAGGUUGCUUCUAACAACAAAAACUCUUACAGGAAAAAUAAAAAAACUUUUACUUCAGUUUGUUUAUUUUUCUCUUCUAAUAAAUAUGUUUUCUUGCUCAUCCAAGACAGGGAGCAUGAUAACUGAUCUAUGAGACACAUUAUAAGAUUUUGAUCCAAUAAUUCACGUAAAAUUUAUUUUUUCUUAAUGAUUAAUAUUUUUUAAUGUAAAAUUUAUAGAUAAGUAAUAGAAACUGAAUGUGUGAUGGAGCCAAUAUUCUAUGAGAGAAAAAAAUUAUGUUGGUUGUUGUAACCCAAUUUUGGCCCAUUGGCUUUUUAACUUAAUUUUACAGGGUUUAAAAUGUAAAAUUAAAAGAUCGGAGAUUUAUUUCAAUGAAAAGUGUGAUUUGUCAACUUGCGUGAAAACUAGGGACUACAAUAUGCUUUUGUCAUUUUAACCUUAUCUUCAAGAUAAUCUUUGUCUUCAAGAUAAUGAUAGUUAUCCGCUUUCAAAUUUGAUUCUUAAUCAAAUUCAAACUUCAAAGAAGAGAAUAAGUUUGAUUGAAACUUUGUUUCUCACACGCAAAGGAACUCUAACACUAUAAAUACAGAUCUCAGUGUAUGUACAAAAAGGAGGAGGAUAUAGAAAAAACAAAGGAAACCCUAGAGGGGGGAUAAACACAAAAAACCCCAAGAGGAGGUCAUUACAAGAAAAGCCUAAAAGAAAAAAAAGAAACAACUCGAAAGGGAGGGGGGGCUGGCAUUCCACUCUCUACUCUCUACCGCCACCCCCCCUUCAUCGAUUUUCUUUCUUCCUCUUCUUCCCCAGUCACUAAGAACAAACAAAGCAAGCCCUCCAUUGCUUUUCUUUUCCUCUCCCUCAAGACCAACCAAACCGGCAACAACAGCAGCCCCUCUUAGUAGCAGCAGUAAGGCUUGGUUACUUACAAUCACGGGAACGGUGGAGUCUUUAUCAUCCCGGAUGAAAACAGCAGCUCCCUUACUGUCAUGGCACCAUUACCAGCUCCAGCAGUAGUCCAACAACAUCCAGCAAACAACAUUGCGCGCCUCUUCCAGCAAACAACAUUCCAGCUCCAUCAACAUCCAGCAAACAACAUUGCGCGCCUCUUCCAGCAAACAGCAUUGCAGCUCCAUCAACAUCUAGCAACCAACAUCGUGCACCUUGAGCAUGUACUAACCAUAGCAGCAACAACCUUCUUUUCUUAGUAGAGAGAGGACGAAUACACAGAAAUGCAAAUGAGAGUAGGGGUGGCACAAGAUGAGAAGAAAUAGAGGAGAGAGUUCCUUUCCGGCCAGCAGCCUUACGCCUGGAUCACCAUCGCCCUCGGCUUACAACAACCAGGUAACUUCUUCUUUUUUCUAUUUUCCUAGAUUAAUUAGUUUGUUAUUGUUACAUGCAUGCGUGAAUUACUCAAGCAUGCAUGCAACAAUGCUUUUUUUUUUUUACUGGACCACAAAAAUAAAAAUAAAAACAACAAUAUAUAUAUAUAUAUAUAUAAACAAAAAUAGUUUCUAUUUCUUGUAAUAUAUAUUUUGCGGAUUUAUUCACUGGCGCCAGAGUCAGGAAUACCGUACAUUGUGGGUUGCACAAUAUUUACCAACGUCAGAGUUGGAAAUAUUCAUAGGUGAAUAUUCACUAACGCUAGAGUCAGAAAUAUUAUAGGAUGACCAUAAGAACGGAACACAAACAAACCUUUAGCAAUUUAAGACAAAACCAGCAAUAUAGCUUGUCUAAGGUAGGACGCUUAAGGGGUGAUAAUAUAUUUCCUUUCGCGUAACCAGUCUCGUACCAUAGAAUCUCUGUUGACCAGUUAGGGUUCCUAGUGACCAUAAUAUUAGGUGGCGACUCCUUGAACAAGAACUUUUCCCCUAAAAAAACACGAUGCCAAAUAUCGGUUCUUUUUCCAAUCGAGAGAUUAAUUUUUUAAUAGGUCGCCACGAUGUCCGGGUGUGACAUUAGUGAUAAAAAAAACUUAGAGACCAAAUAGAAUGAGUUGUAGCAAUCACAGUGUUUUAUGAGGAAAACUACAGUGCUUUCCCCACAUGAUUUAGUUUUUUGCUACAUGAUUUAGCUUUUCUGUUAAUAAAAUAGAAAAAAAUACAAAGCUAAAUUCUCAAUCAACUCAAUAUUAAAAAAAAUAAAAUUGAUAAAGACAAUUUUGGAAAAAAUCAUAAAAAAAUCAUGUAGGGAAACAUUGUAGCAAUCCAUAGUGUUUUGUGAAGAAAGCUACAGUUGUAAUUCUAACCCAACUCAAUAUCAAGAAAAUAAAAUCGACAAAGACAAUUUUAGAAAAAAUCAUAAAAAAAAAACAUGUAGGGAAACACUAGGGGUGAUCAUUUUCGGUUCGGUUCAGUUUUUUUUUACAGUAGCCAAAUUUGUUUUUUUUUUAAAAACCAAAACUGGUUCAAACUAACCGUUUUCGGUUCGGUUCGGUUAUUUUAGAGAAAAAACCGGUUCAAAUUGGUUUGGUUCGGUUUGGCUUGGUUUCUGUUCGGUUCAUUUUUUUGGUUUUUUCGGUUUCAAGCUUAUAAAACCGAAACCAAACUGGUUAGUUUUUUGAAAAUUCUAAUCGGUUUUUUUUCAUGGUUCGGUUUUUUCGGUUAUUGUUUUUCGGUUUUCUCGGUUUAAUCGGUAUUUCAGUUUUUUUGCUCACCCCUAGGAAACACUGUAGCAAUUGAUUAGUACUUAAAAGUGCAUUUUUAUCAAGGUUUUAUAUCAUCAUUUUGCACUUAAAGUAUCAAUAACUCCUUAACUAGAGCAUGUUUUAUAAUAUCUUGUCUAAUACUAUAAGAAACCUUUAAUUUAUGGUAAAUGUUCAUCUUAAAUGCAGGCCUAUCACAUAAAUGAAGGGAUUGAUUGAUGAGUUUAACUACUGAAAUUGAGAAGACAAAGAGAGGGCUAAGCAUAGAAAAGAGAUGCUGGUUAAAUCCAAACUGGAACACUAUUCAGUCAUUGGGUCAUAUCUGGAGCUGUAGAUCUUGGAUUUCAGUUUGGUUUAUAUGGCUAGAAAGCUAAGACAUAGGCCUAAAACAUUCAGGAACAAUCCCAGACUCAAUUAUGCUAUUUGGAAGUCCAAAUCUUAGCAUCAAAAGAGAAGUCUGAAUCUGUCCAGCAGCCCAGACACUGUUUAGUGUUCAGCCCAUAUCUCAAGUUCUAGAAGUCCAAAUGCACUGAUUCUUUUUCUGUUGGAAAGCGGAGACAAUAUCCUAGAACUUUCAUGAGACAAUCUGUUCAAAUUCUGAUGUUAGCAAUGAUGUUUUGUUCAGACAAGAAGAUAAGGAUUGUCACCAAGUCAAGAUGUGACCACCCACUCAACAAGUAGUCAUCAAAUCAAUAGUUCCAAAUUUUAGCCUAUAAAAAAAGGCAUUUGUCAUGCAUUUAGGUAUCUUGGUUUUUAGAUCAAGAUCAUUUCCUUACUUGCUUUCUUUCUUUGUAGUUUUAAUGUUCUAGUUUUAUUUCAUGUUAUAGUUUCAUUAAUAUCUUGUUUAUGCCUUUCAUUUCCUUUACUAUACUUAUAUAAUCAUGUUCUCCUCUAUUUUAUUUAUGUUUCUCUUCUUCAAUAUGGUUAGCUAAGUUUAUUAUGUCAAGGUAAAAAGGUUUCACUAAUGGUGUUAGGAUAAGUAUAAUAUAAACUCAAUAUGGACUUUAAUGAUUAUAUCCUAAACAACCUAGUAUUAACAUGUCUUAUCAUUUUUAUCUUAUUAAUUCUUAAUACCUUGCUUGUUAAAUGGUUGAUCUAAAUUUGUGUUGUAUGACACUUAGUACAACAAAUGCUUGGCACUUUCAUAGCCAACCGUAUGGUAUAACCUACACCUAUGCUAUGAAAGGAACUUGAUUUGUUGUUAACAUAAGUUAGCAUCAUGAAUUCCUGACAAUAUUUAAAAGUUUGGUGUUACUUAAAUAAGAUAAUUAAUAUGAUCAUGUUAAUAAUUUAUAAUGAGCUAUUAAUGACAAAUCAUCCGAUUGGAACCUCCUUUGUGUGUGGUUUCUAGUUGAGUAAUAAAAAGAGUUUAUAUUAUACUUAUUUGAAAUACCAUUAGUGGAUCCUCUAACCUUGACAACUGUUUUUAUCAUUGUUUAAUCUUCACAUUAAUCUUACAUCUCAAAGUCUUCUUUAACUCAUCAUCAUCAUCAUCAUCAUCAUCAUCAUCAUCAUCAUCAUCAUUAUUAUUAUUAUUAUUUAUAAAGUUAACCUCUUUGUUGUUCGAUCCCGGUCUUACCGGGUUAUUUAUUACUUUGACACUCCUACACUUGGGAGAAGACAUUAAUCUUUUGGUCGUGUCAAGUUUUUGGCACCGUUGCCAGGGAGGUAAAUUCCUGUAUAAAUUAUAAUAUUUAUUUUAUUUUCUCUUUUCACUUUUCUUGUAUCUAACUUUGUUUCUUUUUGUUUUGUUUCUUUUUGUUUUGUUUCUUUUUGUUUUGUUUUCUUCUUCCAUUUGCAUGAGAGUUUAAGUGGUAGACUUUGUAGGGUAUCCUCAUCAUUUUCAGAAAAUAUGGCUAAAGAAGAUAACCAAAGAAGAUAACCAGUCGCUUCAUAAUGAGAAUAAUGAGAAUAACUGUGUUAGAACACUUAGAGACCACAUGAAUCUCACAAGAAUUUUCCCCCCUGAUACAUCUCAUUUUAAUUUUAAGCCAGACAUUAUUCAACUUUUACCUUCUUUUCAUGGCUUAGAUCUAGAAAAUCCAUACUUGCAUUUAAGGGAAUUUGAAGAAGUCUGUAACACCUAUAAUGACUCAAAUUGUAGCAUGAAAACCAUCAGAUUAAAGCUUUUUCCUUUUUCAUUAAAAGAUAAAGCCAAAACAUGGCAACAAAAUCUUAGGUCAGGAUCCAUUCGUGCUUGGGAUGAAAUGCAACAACAAUUUUUAAAGAAGUUUUUUCCGUCCCACAGAACAAACUCUUUCAAAAGACAAAUCAUCACUUUCACUCAAAAACCAGGAGAAACAUUUUACCAAUAUUGGGAUAGGUAUCGAGACUUGCUUAAUACUUGCCCUCAUCAUGGUUUUGAAACUUGGAGAUUGGUUUCACAUUUUUAUGAAGGGUUAACUCCUAGAGAUAGACAAAUGGUGGAAUUGAUGUACAAUAAAACUUUUAAAGAUAAAGACCCUAAUGAAGCAAUGGAGUACCUAGACUUGCUAGCUGAAAAUGCUCAAAAUUGGAACAUUACAGGCACUUAUGAGGCACCAAGUAAAACCCAACCACAUACAUCUAGUGGAGGUAUAUACAACCUUAUGGAAGAUCAUGACCUCCAAGCCAAGUUUGCAUCUUUAGCUAGAAAAGUCGAGGCACUAGAAUUGAAAAAGAGUGGUCAAUUAAAAUCUGUUCAAGACAUUGUGUGUCAAAUAUGUGAAACCAAUGAACACUCAACCAAUAACUGUCCAACUUUGCCUUCUUUCAAGGAAUGCCUCCAUGAACAAGCCCAUGCUUUAAACAGUUUCCAAAGGCCCAAUCAUAACUCAUACUUGCAAACAUACAACCCUGGUUGGAGAAAUCACCAAAAUUUCAGUUGGAAGAGUGAUAACAAUAAUGCACAAACUUCACAGCCACCAUUUCAAACACAUCAUAAUUUCUAAAAUUCUCAUGGAUAUGCACCUCUUUAUGCUCCACCUCCUAGAAGAAAUCUUGAGGAAACAUUGCAUCCAUUCAUUGAAAAGCAGGAGACAAUCAACACUCAACUUGCUCAAAGCAUGACAGAUUUUAAAGAUACUCUUGCAAAAUUGACAUCUGCUCUCAGUUUUCAAGAGAAAGGUAAGUUUCCAUCUCAACACAGAAAAAUCCAAAGGGGCAAUACAAUGCAAAUGCAAGUAGUUCGGGAAGCCAACACAUGGAUCAAGCCAAAUUAGUCAUCACUCUUCGUAGUGGUAAGGUUAUUGAAAAACCCAUUCUUGAACCUUGUGAGAAAGAUGAUGAGUUAAUCUUUGAGGGUAAGGAAGAGGUUAAAUCUGAACAUUGCAAAGAAAAGACUGAUUCUUCGCCAGCACUUCCAUUUCCUCAUGCCAUGACCAAACAAAGGAAAGUCAAUCACAACUCUGAAAUCUUUAAAACUUUCAAACAGGUAAGGAUCAAUAUACCUUUGCUGGAUACUAUUAAACAGGUACCUUCUUAUGCUAAAUUUUUGAAAGAUUUGUGCACUAUGAAGAGAAAACUGAAUGUGAAAAAGAAAGCCUUUUUAGCCGAACAAGUAAGUGUCAUUCUUCAGAACAAUAAUGAUUUGAAAUAUAAAGACCCUGGUUGUCCUACAAUUUCUUGCUUUAUUGGAGAACAUAAAAUUGAAAGAGCUUUACUUGAUCUUGGAGCUAGUGUGAAUUUACUUCCAUAUUUAGUUUAUCAAAGUCUCAAUCUAGGUGAGUUAAAACCAACUUCUGUAACUCUUUUACUUGCCGAUAGAUCUGUAAAAGUGCCUGGAGGAAUAAUUAAAGAUGUGUUAGUACAAGUCAAUAAAUUCAUUUAUCCUGUGGAUUUUAUUGUCUUGGACACACAACCUGUUGAAGCAUGUAAUUCAUUUCCUGUUAUUUUAGGACGUCCGUUUCUUGCAACUUCUAAUGGAUUGAUCAAUUGUAGGAAUGGACUGAUGAAGCUAUCUUUUGGAAACAUGACAUUGGAGAUGAAUAUUUUCAACAUUUGCAAGCAACCUGGAGAUGAUAAUGAUUUACAGGAAGUGGACUUUACUGAAAAAUUAGUUCAUCAUCAAUUUCAAACCAUUUCUAGUGAAAGUGAGAUUGAUGAAUCUGAUGAUUUGCAAAUGGUUUAUUUUCAGGAAGAAUCAAAGGUAAAUAGUUGGAGACCAAAAAUUGAGGAAUUGCCACCACGAUCAAUUGAGUCCAUACCUUCAAGUGUUCAACCACCAAAACCUGAUUUGAAGCCGCUACCAUUCAAUCUCAAAUACUCAUUAUUGGGAGAAAAUGAAACUUUUCCUGAAAUAAUCUCUUCCAAACUUAAUGCACAUCAAGAAGGUAAGUUAUUACAAACUCUGAAAAUGCACAAAAAUGCAUUAGGAUGGACCAUAGCUGACAUAAAAGGAAUUAGUCCUUUGAUUUGCACACACACAAGAUUUAUUUGGAGGAAAAUGCUAAACCCUCUAGAGAAAUGCAACGAAGGCUUAAUCCUAAUAUGAAAGAAGUAGUGAAAAAAAAAUUCAUUAAGCUUCUAGAUAAUGGAAUCAUUUAUCCUAUUUCUGACAGCAAAUGGGUAAGUCCUACCCAAGUUGUACCCAAGAAGUCUGGAGUCACUGUGAUAACAAAUAAGAAAAUGAGUUAAUUCCAACUAGGCCUAUGACUGAUUGGCGCAUGUGCAUUGACUGUAGGAAACUUAAUUCAAUGACUAGAAAAGAUCAUUUUCCUUUACCUUUCAUGGAUCAAAUCCUAGAAAGAGUUGCAGGUCAUGAAUUUUAUUGUUUCCUAAAUGGCUAUUCAGGUUACAACCAAAUUGAAAUUGCAUUGGAAGAUCAAGAGAAGACUACUUUUACAUGUCCAUUUGGUACUUUUGCAUAUCGAAAGAUGCCUUUUGGAUUAUGUAAUGCACCAGCCACAUUUCAAAGAUGCAUGCUCAGUAUAUUUAGUGAUAUGGUUGAACGUUUUCUUGAAAUUUUUAUGGAUGAUUUUUCUGUUUUUGGCGAUUCAUUUGAUGAUUAUUUGACUAACUUAGAAAAGGUUUUGAGCAGGUGUGAAGAGAAGAAUCUUGUAUUGAAUUGGGAAAAAUAUCACUUUAUGGUAACAAACGGAAUUGUGCUUGGUCACAUUGUUUCAUUGAAAUGAAUUGAGGUUGACAAAUCUAAAAUCGAGUUAAUUGUUAACUUGCCAACACCAAAAUUAAAGAUGUUAGAUCAUUCUUAGAACAUGCUGGUUUUUAUAGAAGGUUCAUGACACGAUCAAAGAGUUGAUGUCUUAUCCCAAGUGCAGGAGUGUCAAAGUAAUAAAUAACCAGGCAAGACUGGGGUCGAACCACAGGGAGGUCAACUAUAUAAAUUACAAAUAAAGAUAAAGAUUUGAAGAGAAUAAUAACAUAAAAGGAGUUGAAGAGAGUUUUGGGAUGUGAUAUUGAUGUAAGGAUUAAACAAUGAUAAAACAGAUGUCAAGGUUAGAUGAUUCACUAAUGGUAUUUCAAAUAAAUAUAAUAUAAACUCUUUUUAUUACUCAACUGGAAACCACACACAAAGGAGGUUCCAAUCAGAUGAUUUAUUGUUAUUAGCUCAUUAUAAAUUAUUAACAUGAUCAUAUUAAUCAUCUUGUCUAAGUAACACCAUACUUAUAAAUAUCAUCAGGCAUUCAUGUUGCUAGCUUAUGUUAACAACAAAUCAAGUUCCUCUCAUAACAACGAUGUCGGUCGAAAACUAUGAAGAAUCAAGCAUUUGAUGUACCAAGUGUUAUAUAACACAAAUCUAGAUUAACCAUUUAACAAGCAAGGUAUUAAGAAUUAGUAAGAUAAAAAGAUAAGACAUGUUAAUAGCAAACUUUCUUGGAUAUAAACAUUGAAGUCCAUGUUGAGUUUAUAUUAUACAUAUUCUAACACCAUUAGAGAAACCUUUUUACCUUGACAUAAUAAACUUAGCUAAACAUAAUGAAGAAGAAGAACAUAAAUAAACUAGAUAAGAACAUAGUUAUGAUGAAAAGCAUAAACAAGAAAUUAAUGAAAGCAAAACUUAAGCAUUACAAAAUAUAAAAAAAGAAAGUAAGAACAUGAUCUUGAUCUAAAAACCAAGAUGACUAAAUACAUGGCAAAUGCCUCCUUUUAUAGGCUAAGAUGUGGAACUAUUGAUUGGUUGACAAACUAUUUGGAUGGUGGCCAACCACUGAUUUGGUGGCUGGUUUUUGACAUUAUUGGCUGCUGGUUAUUGACAUUGUUGGCUGGUUAUUGAUAUUGUUGGCUGGCCAAAACGUCAUUUCUAACAUCAUAAAUUGAGCCAUUUGUUCCAUGAAAUCUGUGGGCAAUUGUCUUAGCUUUCCAACAAAAAAAACCAGAGCUCAUUUGGACUUCUAGAACUCAAGAUAUGAGCUGAAAAUCAAACAGUGUUUGAGCUGCAGGACAGGUUCGGACUUCUCCAUUGUUGCUAAGAUUUGAACUUGAAAACGGUAGAAUUGAGUCUUGGACUCUUCAUGAAAGUUUUAGGUCUAUGUCUUAACUUUCCAUCCAUAUAAAGUAGACCUAAAUCAGAGUUCUACAACUCCAGUUAUGAUCCAAUAACCGAAUAGUGUUCCAGUUUGGAAUUGAACCAGCAUCUCUUCUCUUAGCCUAGUCCUUCUUUUGUCUCUUCACUUUCAAUAGUUAAUCACAUCAAUCAAUCCUUUGAAUUGUGAGAUAUACCUGCAUUCAAAAUAAGCAUUUACCAUAAAUUAAAGAUAUAUUAUAUUAUCAGAUUUGUUAUUAUAAAACAUGCUUUAGUUAGGGAAUUUAAUGAUACUUUAGUGCAAUAUGAUGAUAUAAAGCCUUAAUAAAAAUGCACUUUUAAGUACUAAUCAGUUCAUCAAAGAUUUUAGUGUAAUAUCUAAGCCCUUGAGUAACCUUCUAACAAAGGAUAAUAUUUUUUAAUGGACUGAACAUUGUGAAGAAGCUUUUGUUAAACUUGUUGCUACCUAAUUUUUUACCCAUGUUUUGAUAAAAAAAUUUUAAAAAAUAAAAAAUAAAAAUAAAAGGAUUUACAUGUGGCGAUAACAUAGAGCAUCAGGGUUAAGGAAACAAUAUGUCAAGGAGAUAAUUACUGAAUCAUAUAUAACUACUGCAAUAUAAAAUACCAUAGAUAUAUGAUUUGAUUCGUGCUGUUUAGGAAAAAUAAUCACUGCAAUAGAAAAAUACCAUAUAUAUAGGAUUUGUUGGUGCUGGUUAUAGAAGACAAUCUCUGUAAUAAUUAUUAUAAUAUUUCUUUAAAUAACACGUAUAGAGAUUUUCUAUAUAAAUGAACAUCCAGCCAUAUACAGAGGGGGGGAAGAAAAUUUACAGAGGACAAAUUUUUUUUAAAGAGAGAAAUUUAGGGCAACCAUAAAAAAACCUAAACCUAAUUUUUUUCUCUCGGCCGAAAACAAGCCAUCGCCCCCUCUCCCCUGUUGUUUUUUUGGUUUGCAGUCUCCCCCCCAGCUAUCUUCUUCUCCUCCCUCAGCUCCCACACGCAUGACCUUCCCUUUACGCAAAAAGAGGCUUUUAAAGCGCUCUGAAUUUCCUUAGAUUUCUAAAUUUUUGUCUCUCCUCCUUGCGAUUUACGAGUCGCAAAACUCUUGAAAUACUAAGGGAAAAAUGAGCUUUUAAAGCACAUGGAAUCUCUUUGGAUUUCUAUCUUAAUAAAUUUAGUCUGAAUCAAACACAGAUUUCAAGAGAUCUGCAUCGGUUCUCCUUGGUACUUUGUAGACAUAUCUAAGGGUGUGAUCCACAUUGACCAAGGGUUAUUUCUUUUUUAAAACUUUCAGUCCAAGUUUGUUCGUCAUAGCAAAAUGUAUCCUAGGAAAACACCAACACCAUAACAAUUAUAAAGCAAACCAAACACCAAGCAGCUUACCUUAGGUAGGGCGUGCUAGGGGUGCUAAUACCUUUCCUUUACGCAACCAGUCCCUUGCCUUAAAAUCUCUGAAAGACCAGUUAGGUUUCCUAGUGACCAUAAUACUAGGUGGCGACUCUAUUAUUCACAAAACAAAAGACCCCGAAAUCAAUCGAGGAUCGCCGCGACACCGCGCUCCGCUCGCGAGGGUGCGACAGGAUGGCGACUCCACUCGGGACCCUAGGACUAAGCUUGGUAAUUGUUUUUUUUAUUAUGCUAUGUGUUGUUUGUUUUCUUAUAUGAAUGAUACUUUGUUUAAAAGCUUUAGCAUGCAUCUUUACAUUCUGUCAUACAUGGUAUAGUCAUGCAUCACUUUAUUAUUAUUAUCUUUUUUAGGGCACACACAUUUAACUUUAAGUUAAGUGGGGAACUAGCAACUUGCCUUAUGACUUGAGUCAAGGUUUAAGUUUGUGUAAACCCCAACUCUUUGCUGAGUGUUUAGAUUGAUAUUGAUUGAUACAUGUGCCAUCCCACUAUCUGCUAAACCCCCAUAUUACCUUUACGAGGGCGAUCACUGGGACAGCAAGAGACCCUUUUUUAGAGACCACGUAGUAAACCUACCAUAUGUCUCACGUAAAAGAACUAGAACCUAUCCUUAGGUUGUAUGCUCCAUAAUAUCUUUUGCAUCAAAACUAGUCUAACCCCAAGGCAUCUUGAAUUCCAGGACUUGUGAACGAAAUGGCCACCAUCACUAAAUCUUCCAUCAUAGAGUAUGGGAAAAAUUCUGAACUGUCACAAUUGACUGAAGGAGACUGCCUUAGAAGCGAUGCUAAGAAGAUGUCACCAAUCAAGAACCUGAAUUGCAUUAUGAAUGAGGUGAACAAGUUAACGACUCAUUUUCAGAAUGUUGAUAAAGAUGCAUUUUUUAGGAAAUACGGACGUUUGGUGGAAAUUGCAAAGGUAGAAGUUUUAAGCCCAGCUGUGCGAGCUUUAGUUCAUUUUUGGGAUCCAGACUACCGGUGUUUUUCUUUUGGAAACAUAGACCUAUGUCACACUAUUGAGGCAUAUGGGAUAUUGACUGAGUUUCCAAACAAUCUGUAUCAGAUUUAUUUGCCUUUGAGAUCUGACAAGAUCAUCCCCGAACUGUCAAAACUGCUCAGAAUCUCCAACUUAGAAAAGUUUUUGGAAAAGAAUGCUAUCGGUUUGAAAUGGAGGAUGCUAGAAAUUGAACUUGAAAAGAAGUCAGGAUUAGAAAAAGAGAGAUUGAUUGCCUUGGGCGUAUUUGGCCUUGUGUUGUUCCCAAGCCAGACGGGUGUAGUGAGUUUGAAGGCCGCUGCUGCUUAUGUAGAGUAUGAGAAUACACAAAUCAAUCCAAUGGCUGCUAUUUUAGCCGAAACCAUCUUGACACUUAACCAUUGUAGGAGGACCGGAAAAGGAGCAAUGAGAUGCUGCACGUAAUUGUUGUAUAUCUGGAUGGUUAGCCAUAUCGAAAUAAAAAAGUCUGUCUUCAAUAAUUUUUGGUGGUUCACCCAAAGACCCCUGAAGGUAGUAGAAGAAGAAGAAUGGGGAGAUCUAGACAACCAAGGUUGGGUUGAAAAAUUAGAAGGUUUGCCUAAUAGUGAUUUUAAGUGGAAAGCCCCAUGGGUAACGACAGUGAAAGUCCUAAUGAGUUGUGGACAAAGACGUUGGGUGCCAUUGGUAGGGAUUACAGGUUAUGUGAGUUAUGCUCCUGCCCUAGUGGUAAGGCAACUUGGGGGCAUGCAGUUUGUUCCAAGGACUAUGGGAAUUGCUCAGUUCUUUGGUUUGUUCAAAGAUCCUGUUGCACAAGAAGUUUUGGAGAUCAUUAAACAAGAUUGAAAGCAUCUGGUUUUGGUUGAGAUAGAAGGUUUAAAGGAUCCAAGUGCAAGUGAAGGAUAUGCAAGAUGGAGAGACUUAGCAGCUUCAGCCAUGCCUUGUGUAGGAGUCAAAUCUCCCCAAACUGUAGAAGAGCCUAUUAAGAGGAAAAGGGUCAAUAAUGAAGAGGAGUUGAGAAGACAAGUGGAAAAACUUCGGAUAGAGUUGAGCAAAAGCAGAGAAGACAAGGCAAUGUUGGAAGAAAUGAUGCUAAAAGAAGAUAAAAGGAGAGCAUUUCUAGAUGAGCAAAUACAAUCUAGAGAUGCGCGAAUAACAAAGCUUGAGUUAAAGCUGGGUGAGGAGAAGAUUGCUAGGGAAAGAAGUGAGAAGAAGCUAAGAAGGAUGAGUUUGGAUUGGAUGCAAAGUUGCUCUAAACUUGAAGCAAUAGAGAUUGACUUUAACGAUUGCUAAGCAAGUGCAUAAUAUUACCAAGAAAAAUUUGCACAAGUCCAGUUCGAACUGAUGGAUAGGAUUGGGAAGUAUGAGGAUUUGAACAAGAAAUAUAUGGAGUUAGAAAGCCGUUCGAUGGGGAUUGCAAAAAAAGAAAGUAAAAGGAAAGGUUUUGAGGUGGUUGAAAUAGAAUUAGCGGUUAAGAAGAAUGAGAUAAAAGUUAUGAGGAUAAAACUUGACAAGGAACGUGAAAAGGUGAAGUAUUUGAACGAGAAGCUAGCAGCAAUGGAAAAACACAAGGAUCAAAUCGACGCCAAUAACACUGCUUUGAACAGAACCAAUAUGUUGCUCAUAGAAAAGAUGACCAAGACAGAUGAGCAAAUGGACGAAGCUGCUGCACAUGCUCGAAUUAUUAGAAUCAAUACGCGGAAUGUGGGAGGGGACAUCAUUCGCUAUCGCCGAAGUCUAGCUGAAACCGAUGCCUUUCUAGGGAAGAUUGAGAACCACGACUUUGCCUUAUUACCUUUGGCUAGAGAGUUUGUGGAGGAAAGGGAUUAACAUGUUGUAUUUCCUUUUUAUUUCUAAAUGUAAUAAACUUAUCAAACAUUAAUGAAAAGGGCGUUGACCCAUCUUCUUAUGCAAAAUCUGUCUCUUGGUGAAUAUGAUUCAAGCAAACGACCUGAAAGGCAGUACUCCUAUCAAAGCAAUGUGACAAGAGAACCUAUGUUUAUAAUGUGGUGGCUAUUAUUCGUUCACAAGAAGGCUGCAUCCAUACCCAAUGUACAAAUGCAUUCUUAUCACAAUCAUGCAUUAUAUCAUGCAUUUUCUUAUACAUCUAUGCACGCAUAUGCAGACCUAGAAAUAUAGGUCCCCCUUCUAGAAUCCACAACACUUAACUAAGAAAAAGGAUGGAAAAUAAAGAAAGGUCACACCAAAAAGCUCAGUACCAAAAAGAGAUUGAAGGAGUUUGGAAUGAUGUUGCGCACCUAAUCGGUUUUCUCAUGCAAAUGUUUUGAGACAACUUUUUCCUUUUAAUGAGAUCAUGCAUUUCCAAAAGUUCAUCUUGGUGUUUUUACACAUCACUUUCCGUUUUCAAACUGGAUCUUCCAUAAUAACAUCUACACUUUACACUGAGAUUGAAUGGCUGGACUUUAAAGAAUACAUAUUAGUUGUAGAAGAAGAAGAAUGAGAGGAAAUUAACAUUAGGGGAUUCACAAAAAUUAAUAAGAACAACAUGAACAAGCUUGGAAACCCGCUAAAGAGGAAUUUGAAACCAUAGAUGUGGGCAAUGAAAAAAUCAAGAGAGAGUUGAAGAUAGGGACUUUGAUCACCCCUAAAGAAAGAGAAGAGUUGAUUAUACUACUCCAAGAUUAUGUAGAUUUUUUUUUUCCUGGUCCUACAAGGAUAUGCCUGGUUUGUAUAAGGUACCACUAGUAGAAGGAUGCAAAUCGGUUAAGCAAAGGUUGAGAAGGACCAAUUUGAAUGUCUUGAUCAAGGUAAAGACAUAAAUUGAAAAGUAGUGGAAUGCUGGUUUUCUAGAAAUAGUCAAGUAUCCGCAAUGUGUGUCUAACAUAGUGGUAGUACCCGAAGAGGAAGAGAAAAUCAGAGUUUGUGUGGACUUUAAGGACUUAAACCGGACUAGCCCUAAAGACAAUUUUUUUCUAUCACACAUAGAUAUGUUAGUUGACAAUGCAGCUCGUAGCCCCAUAUAUUCCUUUAUGGACGGGUUUUCGGGCUACAAUAAGAUAAAAAUGGCGCAAGAGGAUAAUGAGAAGAAACCUUUGUAACACUAUGGGGAACCUUUUGCUACAAAGUCAUGCCAUUUGGGUUAAAGAACGUUGGGGGCACCUACCAAAGGGCCAUGUUGACUCUAUUUCACGACAUGAUGCACAAAGAGAUUGAAGUAUACGUGGAUGACAUGAUUGCUAAAUCUAGAGAGGGAGAGAACCAUGUCCAAAUAUUGAAGGAAUUAUUUGAAAGAUUAAGAAAGUACAAGUUGAGGCUUAACCAUGCAAGGUGUUCAUUCGAGGUGAAAUCUAUGAAAGUUGUUGGGAUUUAUGAUGAGUGACAAAAGGAUAGAAAUGGACCCCGGUUAAGUAAAGGCUAUUCAAUCUAUGCCAACUCCCAAGACUGAGAAGGAUGUAAGAAGGUUCUUGGGAAGGUUGAAUUACAUUGCUCGGUUUAUAUCCCAAUUAACCACAACUUGUGACUCAAUCUUCGAUUGUUAAGGAAGAAGAAUCUCGGAAUUUGGAAUAAGAGUGUGAAGAAGCUUUCGAGAAAAUCAAGUAAUACGUAUUGAAUCCACCCCUAUCUAUCAAGCCGAAUUGCAAAAUGGCAAGUUCUACUGGCUGAGUACGACAUAGUAUAUAUGACAUGGAAAGCCAUGAAAGGGAGUGUUAUUGUCGAUCACCUUACCGACCAUGCUAGGGAAGAUAUUGAGUAAUUAAAAUUUGACUUUCCUGAUGAAGAUGUGCUUUCAGUUGAGGAAGGGAAAUUAGAUUGGUGGACUAUGUACUUUGAUGGUGAUGUAAAUGUAUGUGGUAACAGAGCUGAUGCAAUGAUAAUCUCUCCUAAUAAAAAGCAAUAUUCGGUUUUAGUUAAGUUGCAGUUUGGGUGCAAUAACAACAUAAGAGUAUGAAGCUUGCAUUUUCGUUUUAGAGGUGACAUUGGAGCAGAAUAUUAGAAAGAUAGAUAUGUAUGGAGACUCAAUUUUGAUUAUUUUCCAAGAGAAAGGAAAAUGACAAACCAAUGACGAGAAGUUGAGACCUUACCAAGAAUACCUGUCUAAAUUGGCUAGAGAAUUUGAGGAAAUAAAGUUCACCCAUCUAGGAAGGGAAGGAAACCAUUUUGCUGACGCUUUGGUCACAUUAACUUAUAUGGCUAGAAUAGACUUUGGGCAUAAGGUACAGUCGGUACGCAUUAAUAUCAGAAAUAACCCAGCUCAUUGUUGCUUAGUUGAAAGAGAAAAAGCUGGAAACCCUUGGUACUAUGAUAUCAAGAAUCUCAUCCAAAACCAGACAUAUCACAUUGGGGCAUCCAAAAUCAACAAAAGGACUUUGAGGAGGUUGGCAAUGGAUUUCUAUCUUGAUGGGGAAACUUUGAAUAAGAAAUCAUUUGACGGAACUUUGUAGAGAUGUUUGGAUGACAUGGAGGUAAAAAGUGGUGAAGAAAUUUAUGGAAAGAGAUUUGAUCUGUCAAUAUGGUCCACUAGAAAAGAUUAAUAAUGCCCAGAACUUCAAUAACAAGAUGAUAAUAAAACUCUAUGCUAAAUGGAAAAUCAAGCAUUCCAAUUCCUUGCUAUAUAGGCCAAAGAUGAAUGGUGUUGUAGAAGCUGCUAACGAAAAUGUCAAGAAGAUUGUUUAGAAGAUGAUAGUCACCUACAAGGAUUGGCAUGCGAUGUUGCCAUUCGCCCUUCACGCGUACUGCACUGCAAUCCGAACCUCAAUAGGAGCCACCCCGUAUAUAUUGGUGUAUGGAAUGGAGGCAGUGAUGCCUUUAGAAGUUGAAAUCCCCUCAUUAAGAGUAUUGAUAGACUCCGAGCUAGAAGAGGUAGAGUGAGUAAAAGUUAGAGAUGAAUAGUUGAAUCUGAUCAGUGGAAAGAGGAUAGCCGCAAUCUGUCAUCAAAGAAGGAUGGCCAAAUUAUACGACAAGAAGGUUCGACCUCGAGGAUUCCACUAAGGAGAUCUUAAACUGAAGAAAAUAUUGCCUUUUACCAGGAGAAGAUCAGAGUAAAUGGGCGUCAAACAAUGAGGGCCUUUUCGUGGUAAAGAAAGCAUUCUCAGGAGGAGCUUUAUUGUUAUCUAGAAUGGAUAGAGAAGAUCUAGUUAAACCUAUGAAUGCUGACUCUAUAAAGAAAUACUAUGCUUCCCAGUCAAUAAAAGAAAGUCCGGCCAUGCUCUUUGUAAAGAACCCUUUUUUUCAUAAAACGUAUGAUCUCAUAGCAUUUGAAAUCUUUUACUUAAAAGAACUGUUUUUUUUUAACGCAUGACUAAGGAGAUGACUCCAUCAAUUGGAGAGAACCAAAUCAAAUCUAAACUUGACAUAUUUUUGCACACCACACUGGGGGCAAGAAGUGCACGAAGUACACAUAGGGGUCCAUAGUGAACCAAAGCCCAAAGGGGUAUCAUCAUAAAAACUUCUAAAAAACAUCUUUUAUGAGAAUUGCUAAUUGUAUUGAAAGUUUCAGUUUUCAUGAACAAAACCAAAUCUUUUGAGUUUUCCUUUUAAAAUAAUAAUAAAAGACAAUACUCAAUGGAGCAAGAAAGGGCCCCAUAAGGAACCAAAGAUCUCUUCACCAAGAGGAUAGGAAGUAUAGCACGUGGAGUAUAUUCCAUUUCAAGAGGACGAGUCGGACAAACAAAUGAAAACAGGAGCUCAAUAAGUCUACAACAGAAAGAGGGACCUAUGUUUCCAAAAUAGGUAACAAAAAAAAAAGCAUGCAUGCUAUAUUGUCAUAACACUAACCUGGCAGGAGAAGGUGUGACGAAAGCCAAAAUAGUUCCAAGUUUUUGGGAAAACCGUUGAGGUACAAAAUCUCAUGUCAACGGAACUACGGAAAAGGAUAGGAAUUGUGAACCAGCACUACUUCAUUUCCUCGAGGUAAGAUGUUUUCUUUUAAAGUUUGAGAUGGGCAGGUCACCCAAUAUUGAGACCAUUUCUUAGAAAAACGUGGAGUUUUCUAAGAAUUUUAAGAUGGGCCGGUCACCUGAUAUUGAGACUGUUUCUUAGAAAAGCGUGGAGUUUUUUAAGAAUUUUAAGAUGGGCAGGUCGCCCGAUAUUGAGACCAUUUCUUAGAAAAACAUUGAGUUUUCUAAGAAUUUUAAGAGGGGCCGGUUACCUGAUAUUGAAACCGUUUCUUAGAAAAGCGUGGAGUUUUCUAAGAAUUUUAAGAUGGACCGGUCACGUGAUAUUGAGACUGUUUCUUAGAAAAGCGUAGAGUUUUCUAAGAAUUUUAAGAUGGGCAGGUCACCCGAUAUUGAGACCAUUCCUUAGAAAAGCAUGGAGUUUUCUAAGAAUUUUAAGAGGGGCCGGUUACCUAAUAUUGAAACCGUUUCUUAGAAAAGCGUGGAGUUUUCUAAGAAUUUUUAAGAUGGGCCGGUCACCUGAUAUUGAGACCGUUUCUUAGAAAAGCGUGGAGUUUUCUAAGAAUUUUAAGAUGGGCAGGUCACCUGAUAUUGAGACCGUUUCUUAGAAAAACGUGGAGUUUUCUAAGAAUUUUUGGAGGGGCCUGUCACCCGAUAUUAAGACUGUUUCUUAGAAAAGCGUGGAGUUUUCUAAGAAUUUUAAGAGGGGUCGGUCACCUAAUAUUGAAACCGUUUCUUAGAAAAGCAUGGAGUUUUCUAAGAAUUUUAAGAGAGGUCGGUCACCUGAUUUUGAGACUGUUUUUUUAGAAAAGCGUGGAGUUUUCUUAAAAAAAAAGUUUAAGGUGGGCAGGUCACCCGAUAUUGAGACCAUUCCUUAGAAAAGCGUGGAGUUUUCUAAGAAUUUUAGGAGGGGCCUGUCACCCGAUAUUGAGACCAUUUCUUAGAAAAGCGUGGAGUUUUCUAAGAAUUUUAAGAGGGGCCGGUCACCUGAUGUUGAAACCGUUUCUUAGAAAAGCAUGGGGUUUUCUAAGAAUUUUAAGAGGGGCCGGUCACCUGAUUUUGAGACCGUUUUUUUUAAAUAAGCGUGGAGUUUUCUUUAAAAAAAAGUUUAAGGUGGGCAGGUCACCCGAUAUUGAGACCGUUCCUUAGAAAAGCGUGGAGUUUGCUAAGAAUUUUAGGAGGGGCCUGUCACCCGAUAUUGAGACCAUUUCUUAGGAAAACGUGGACUUUUCUAAUAAUUUUAAGAGGAGCCGACCACCUGAUAUUGAAACCAUUUCUUAGAAAAGCGUGGAGUUUUCUAAGAAUUUUAAGAUGGACCGGUCACUUGAUAUUGAGACCAUUCCUUAGAAAAGCAUGGAGUUUUCUAAGAAUUUUAAGAUGGGCAGGUCACCCGAUAUUGAGACCAUUCCUUAGAAAAGCAUGGAGUUUUCUAAGAAUUUUAAGAGGGGUCGGUUACCUAAUAUUGAAACCGUUUCUUAGAAAAGCGUGGAGUUUUUUAAGAAUUUUUAAGAUGGGCCGGUCACCCGAUAUUGAGACAAUUUUUUAGAAAAGCAUGGAGUUUUCUAAAAAAAUAUUUUGAGGUGGGCAGGUCACCCGAUAUUGAAACCAUCCCUUAGAAAAGCGUUGAGUUUUCUAAGAAUUUUAAGACGGGCCUGUCACGCGAUAUUGAGACCAUUUCUUAGGAAAGCGUGGAGUUUUCUAAGAAUUUUAAUUUGGGUAGGUCACCCGUCAUAAUGUGACCAUCUUUCAUUUUGGGUAGGUCACCCGUCAUAAUGAGACCACACACACAUUUUUGUAUUGGUUGUGGUUAAAGGAGAUCACCAGAUGGGAUCUCAGGUUAACCCAACCACACACAGAGUUUACCUUUGGUUAAAGGGAAUCGCCAGAUGGGAUUUCAGGUUGACCGAGCUACACACCGACUUUGCUUCGGAUUAAAGGAGAUCGCCAGAUGGGAUCUCAGGUUAACCCAACCACACAGAGUUUAGUUUUGGUUAAAGGGAAUCGCCAGAUGGGAUUUCAGGUUAACCGAGCUACACACCGACAUUGCUUCGGAUUAAAGGAGAUCGCCAGAUGGGAUCUCAUAUUAACCCAACCACACACAUAGUUUAGCUUUGGUUAAAGGGAAUCGCCAGAUGGAUUUCAGGUUAACCGAGCUACACACCGACUUUACUUCAGAUUAAAGGAGAUUGCCAGAUGGGAUCUCAGGUUAACCCAAUCAAAAGGGUAGGUCGACCGUGAAAAUAGACCAGCAUGAGUAUGUGGGUAGGUCGCCCCUGAAAAUAGACCAGGUUUGAGUGUGUGUGAGCAGGUCGCUCGUGAAAAUAGACCAAUUUUCUUUUUUUAAAAAAGACAGGUCACCCAUGAUAACUAGACCAUUUUCUUUUAAAAAGUGAAGUCCUUGGAUGAGUAGAUCAUUCAAAAAGCAAGGAAGACUUUUUUUUUCUUUACAAGCUUACUAUGCAAAACAUUAAGGAGUUUUGCUUCGUAAGCAUUGUAAAGAGGGGGUAUCUGUUGCUACCUAAUUUUUGACUCAUGUUUUGAUAAAAAAAUUUUAAUAAAUAAAAAAUAAGAAUUUACAUGUGGCGAUAACAUAGAGCAUCAGGGUUAAGGAAGCAAUAUGUCAAGGAAAUAAUUAGUGAAUAAUAUAUAAUUACUGCAAUAUAAAAUACCAUAGAUAUAUGAUUUGAUUCGUGCUGUUUAGAGAAAAUAAUCACUGCAAUAGAAAAAUACAAUAUAUAUAGGAUUUGUUGGUGCUGGUUAUAGAAGACAAUCUUUGUAAUAAUUAUUAUAAUAUUUCUUUAAAUAGCACGUAUAGAGAUUUUCUAUAUAAAUGAACAUCCAGCCAUAUACAGAGGAGGGGAAAAAAUUUACAGAGGACAAAUUUUUUUUAAAGAGAGAAAUUUAGGGCAACCAUAAAAAAACCUAAACCUAAUUUUUUUCUCCUGGCCGAAACCAAGCCAUCGCCCCCUCUCCCCUGUUGUUUUUUUGGUUUGCAGUCUCCCCCCCCCCAGCUAUCUUCUUCUCCUCCCUCAGCUCCCACAUGCACGACCUUCCCUUUUCAGCUAAAGACAAACUCACGGUCUUCUCUCCCAACCAAGAGGCAGCCGGCGCCGCUCUCCCUCUCCACAACAGCCGUCACUGCUCCUCCCCCUUUCUCAAUCAAGACUUUCCCUCUGCACACAAGCUUCUCUUCUCCCUUCGCCAGACCUCACUUCCCUAGCUUGCAACAACUAUGAACACCACUUACAGGCCUUCACUCUCUGUCAACACAACCCCAGGAAAAGACUCUCCAUUCAUCCCAUCUCUCCCUCAGCUCAGCCCCGCCUGAUAAACAUUCAAAACCAGAAGCCACAGCCAGCCCUUCCCCCGACAGUAACAGAGAAGCAACACCAGAACCUCAGACUGGCCUCCCUUGAAAAAUCCCAGCAGCUAGCAGCACCACCUCUGCUGAACCAUGGCCAGCACCAACAGCAACCAGGAACGAGUUGAGCCACUCGCCCAGUUGUAGCCUCCUCCACAGCCAUAUCCUUCCUCAGCCGCAGUGAUGGAACCAGCAGAAGCCACACCUUUCCUCGACCGCAGUAGCAGAAUCAGCAGAAGUCAUCCUUCCCUUCCAGCAACACGAGAACAGAGGGAGUUUCUUUCCUUCAUCCUUUCGUUACUGUGAGAAAGGAAAACAGAACAGAGGAGAGGGAGAGAAGAGAAACGAAAGCAAAACAAACCGGAAAGAACAGAGACGCAAGAGAAAAGCAAGCGAGCGCAGACAGUGAGGACUGGAGAAACCGGGUUCGCCAGCAGACCAGGUAAGCUGUCUCUCUUUUCUUACCAGCUUUGCAUGCAUUCUUGGUUGCAUUGUUACUGUUCAAGUGAAAUUUAAUACACUUGAACAGUAACCAGCCAAGGCAUGCGUGAGGAAACUCACGCAUGCCUUUGUGCCCAGUCGGGUCACUGGUUUGGGUCAGUGACCCGGCUAUGCCUGCUGGGUUCAGCCCAGCCACAUGGGCCGAGCUGGACCCAGCCCCUAAAAAAACGAGUAAUAUCAUUUUUUUAUUUAAUUUGUGGUUUUUUUAUAUUUUUAUAUUGUAAAAACAUAAAUCUUGUAUUUAAAAUACCUGGUUUUCAACGCAAUGUGACAAAUAUAUAUAUAUAUAUAUAAAAUGUUUUCAUGCAUACGACCAAUACUCUAAAUGUUUUGAAUGUUUUUUUUAUAUAAAAAAAAAAUAUUGGAAGUUUCAAAAAUGUGUUUUCGCAUGGAUUUCUUAAACACAACAAAAAUUAUUUUCUUGCAUUUCUAGAACACAACAAAAAUUAUUUUCUUGCAUUUCUAGAUUUUACAACAUGUUUGUAAAACUCCAAAGGGUAUUGGUCAAUAUUCCAAAAAAUAUAAAAAUCUUAUUUUGGAGGAAAUUCAUCUAUUAUUCACCGCUAAUGUUUGGAUAAAAAAAUCCUUAAAGGACGAAUAUCCAAAAUAUUAUUGGGAAUAACUUGUUAUUAUUCGCUGUUAAUGUUUGGAUAAAAAAACCCCAAGUGGUUAAUAUCCAAAAUAUUUUUCUAGGAAUAAUAAGUCAUCGCACAUCGUUGAAAGAAGCCUCGAUUAUAAUUUAGGACAUUUUAAUUUUUGACUCCAUGGUUUACAAGCCAUAAAAAUAUGAAACAAGGCAAAAAGAGGCUUUUAAAGCGCUCUGAAUUUCCUUAAAUUUCUAAAUUUUUGUCUCUCCUCAUUGCGAUUUACGAGUCGCAAAACUCUUGAAAUACUAAGGGAAAAAUAAGCUUUUAAAACACAUGGAAUCUCCUUGGAUUUCUAUCUUAAUAAAUUUAGUCUGAAUCAAACAUAGAUUUCAAGAGAUCUGCAUCGGUUCUCCUUGGUACUUUGUAGACAUAUCUAAGGGUGUGAUCCAGAUUGACCAAGGGUUAUUUCUUUUUUAAAACUUUCAAUCCAAGUUUGUUCGUCAUAGCAAAAUGUAUCCUAGGAAACACCAACACCAUAGCAAUUAUAAAGCAAACCAAACACCAAGCAGCUUACCUUAAAUAGGGCGUACUAGGGGUGCUAAUACCUUCCCUCUAUGCAACUAGUCCCUUGCCUUAGAAUCUCUAAAAGACUAGUUAGGUUUCCUAGUGACCAUAAUACUAGGUGGCGACUCCAUUAUUCACAAAACAUAACACCCCGAAAUCAAUUGAGGAUCGCCGCACUCUGCUCGUGAGGGUGCGACAAAACUUAAAAACUUACGUACUUCUGCUCUUGUCAUUCAACCUCUUUAUUGGUCACUACCUUUUGAAAUAACGUGUGAUGCUUGUGAUUAUGUCGUGGGUGCUGUCUUGGGACAAAGAAAAGAUAAGAAACCUUAUAUGAUUUACUAUGCAAGUAAAACUUUAAAUAGUGCUUAAAUGAAUUACACCACCAUUGAAAAAGAAUUACUUGCAAUAGUAUUUGUUUGUGAAAAAUUCAGGUCUUAUCUUGUUGGCUUACCUGUUGUUGUUUUUAGUGAUCAUGUUGCACUGAAAUAUCUUUUUUCUAAGAAAGAUUCUAAGGCUAGAUUGGUGCGGUGAAUUUUGUUACUUCAAGAAUUUGAUAUCACAAUUAAAGACAAGAAAGACACCAAAAAUGUUGUCGCAGAUCAUUUGUCAAGAUUGACAACAGAUUUGAAAUUUGACAUCACACCAAUCAAUGACUACUUUCCUGAUGAAUCUUUACUAUCUGUCUCUACAAUGCCUUGGUUUUCUAAUAUUGUCAAUUUUCUUGUUUCAGGACAAUUGCCAGCUCAUUGGAGAACCCAAGAUAAAAGAAAGUUCUUGAACGAAGUGAAUAACUUUUAUUGGGAUGACCUUUAUUUAUUCAAAUAUUGUCCUGAUCAAAUAUUUCAAAGAUCCAUUCCUGACAAUGAGGUAAGUAGUGUCAUUAAAUUUUGUCAUUCUGAGGCAUAUGGGGGCCAUUUCUCAUCAAGAAAGACAACUCCAAAAAUCUUACAAAGUGAAUUUUACAGGCCCACCAUGUUCAAGGACUCACAUGCAUUCUGCAAGACUUGUGAAAAUUGUCAAAAGUUGGGAUCUAUUUCAAAACGUCACAUGAUGCCUUUAAAUCCAAUUCUUGUCAUUGAGAUCUUUGACUGUUGGGGUAUAGAUUUCAUGGGUCCAUUUCCUCCAUCAUUUGGUUUCUUGUACAUAUUAGUCGCAGUAGAUUAUGUUUCAAAAUGGAUACAGGCAAUUCCAAGUCGAAACAAUAACCACAAAACAGUGAUAAAGUUUUUGAAAAAAAAUAUUUUGAGUCCAUUUGGAAUCUCUCGAGCCAUGAUAAGUGAUGGUGGAACACAUUUCUGCAACAAGUCAUUUGAGUCUUUAAUGAAGAAAUAUGGAAUCACACACAAAGUUGUCACCCCUUAUCACCCUCAGACAAGUGGACAAGUAGAGCUUGCUAAAAGGGAGAUCAAACAAAUCUUGGAGAAAACAGUAAACCCUAAUAGGAAAGACUAGUCUUUAAGACUUAAUGAUGCACUUUGGACUUAUUGAACUGCUUAUAAAACAUCAUUAGGUAUGUCACCUUAUAGAUUAGUCUAUGGAAAACCUUGUCACUUGCCUGUGGAACUUCAACACAAAGCUUAUGCUGAUGCCUUCAUUGCUUUACCAGGUGGGCUGGGCAUAUUGGAAGAGAUCUUUCAUAUUUCCUUUUGGGCCCAACUACACAUUCACCAUAAACCCAUAGAUCUGUUAAAUGUUAAUGGUUUUUAUGAUAAUUUGUUGUCUUUUCUUUAUCAAGCUGUGGAAUAACAAUUUCUAACAUCUUCAGCACGACAAAUCAUAAUCUCUGCUGUUACUACUAAACAAUUGAUUGACUAACUACAAUCUUUCAUCCUUGUAAUUGAUCUCUCCAUGAGUCGUAUAAAUUGGUCAACUAAGGAAAGCCGUAAAAAGCUUAGAUUGGAUUUGAGCCUUCGUUUGUGAAACCUUGUGUCCUUUGGUUUUAUUAAUAGCAUUUUAUUUUGUUUUGUUAUUUCUUAUAUUUGUUUAAGUGUGUUUCAGGUUUGCUAGUGUUCGUUGUUUCAGGUGAUGUCUUCUAUACUCUAUCUUUCUACCUUAGGACAUUGAGGACAAUGUCUCGUUCUAGUUGGGGGGAGAGGGUAGUAGUUGACAUAAAAAAAACUAACUUCUAACAGUUUUUGCUAUUAUUAAAACCAUUUGACAAAACUGUUAUUAGGAUGGCAGACUUUAAUGUUUGAUACUAACAUGUUUUGUAUUUGUUAUCUUGUUCACUUUUAAUAUUUUGCUUGUUAAAUGAUUAAUCUACAUUUAUGUUGUAUAAUCCUUGGUACAACAAAUACUUGGCACUUUCAUAGCCCAAACCGUAUGGUAUAACCGACACCUGUGCUAUGAAAGGAACUUGAUGUGUUGUUAACAUAAGUUAUAAUCAUGAAUGCCUGAUAACAUUUACAAGUAUUAGCAUUAUUCGAAUGAGAUAACUAAUGUAAUCAUGUUAACAAUUUAUAAUCUGAUUGGAACCUUCUUUGUGUGUGGUUUCCAGUUGAAUAAUAACAGUUUAUACUAUACUUGUUUGAAAUACCAUUAGUGGAUCCUCUAACCUUAACAAUUGUUUUUAUCAUUGUUUAAUACUUAUAACAAUAUCACAUCUCAAAGCUCUCUUCUUCUUCUUGUUAUUAUUAUUGUUGUUGUUGUUGUUGUCGUUGUUGUUGUCGUUGUUGUUGUUGUUGUUGUUGUAUUGUUGUUAUUUAUAAUUUUUAUAGUUAACCUUCUUGUGGUUCAACCCCUGUCUUGCCGGGUUAUUUAUUACUUUGACGCUCCUACACUUGGGAGAAGACAUCAAGCUUUUGGUCGUGUCAGCCCUAAUCAUGGUUUUGAAACAUGGAGAUUAGUUUCAUAUUUUUAUGAAGGGUUAACACCUAAAGAUAGACAAAUGGUGGAAUUAAUGUGCAAUGGAACUUUUGAAGAUUAAGACCCUAAUGAAGCAAUGGAGUACCUAGACUUGCUAGCUAAAAAUGCUCAAAAUUAAGACACUACAGGCACUUAUGAGGCACCAAAUAAAACUCAACCUCAUACAUCUAGUGGAGGAAUGUACAACCUUAGGGAAGAUCAUGACCUCCAAGCCAUGUUUGCAUCUUUAGCUAGAAAAGUCGAGGCACUAGAAUUGAAAAAGAGUGGUCAAUGUUGCGAUGUCGCAGUCGCACAAAUUCCUUACCCUAGCUUCAAACACAACACACAAGAUAAUAUAGAGCAAGCAAGGGGUCGAUCCCACGAGGAAGGUUCAAGUCAGAUUUUUAUGCUAGAUGAUAUGCAAUUUAGGGGGGGUUGGACGUUAUCUAGGCUAAAGCAAAAAAAAAUAGAAAACUAUCAAGUGAAAUUAAAUAAAAUGAGAAAAUUAUCAAGAGAACAAACCUUGGUCGCAAGCACACAUCCACUUAUAGAAAUCAGAACUGAUCAUGGAAACGAAACUUCAAUUUAUAUUCUGAAUAUUUAUCUCUUUUUAACAUUGGUUAGUUAACGGAUCCACCGUAUAACUAACCCUAACCAUCAAACAACCACAGUGUGCGCACUAGUAAUUUAAUUCAAUGACAGCCUUAAGAACUAGAUAAGUUGAUUAAUCAAGAAAAGUCUAUAGUUUAAGUUUGAUUUGAUUGAAUGUUCUCCCUAAGAUUAAUAACGUAGAUCCGCCACAAUUAUUAAACUCAAUUGCUUCACAAGUUCAUAUACCACAACUCUGGUUUUGAUAUCAAACUUAGCAAUAGAUUGUCUACAAUAAUAACUUAGAGUCCGCUCUAGCAAUUAAAAUAAACAAUCAUAGGAAAAAUAAGCAUAGAAGAACAAACAUAUUCAUCAUAUAAACUGAAAAGAAAAGGUAAAAUAAAUCUCAUAGUUCUUGAAAUCCAAAGUUUUCUGUGUCCUUGCAACCAAGAAAAAAGAGUUUAGCCUUGCAUGUUUGUUGAACAGCUAAUAAAAAAGGAGGAAUGCAUGAUUUUGGGUUUCUUAGAGGAAGGGGGCGUUUUUCUCUUCUGUGCUGGCUGCCCCCCCUUCGUUUCUCUCAUUGUUUUUAUAUCCUAGGAAACCCUAGUCUCUAUUUUACAAAAUAGUCCUCCCUUAAGUAGACAGUUUACAUUUAAGUACUUCAAUAACUAUUUUCCUAAAAAAGGAGGAAUAACCUUGCAUGAAAUCUUCAAGCUUUGACUUAGAGGAGCUAAAUUGCUGAAAUAAAAACUUGGAUAUUGGUUUAGAUGCUUCAGAACGCAAUUUGGACUCGUUUCUUCACGAAACCUGUUUGCUGGCAGAAUUCAGAUGUCAUCUUUGAAAAAUCAUAUCUCCCUCAUAUGACAUCUUUUUUUGCUGAACUUUGGAGCAUUGAUAGGCAUUUGAGUCAAGAAUCCAAUAUAAUUGAGUUUGAAUCAAUUGGACUUCUUUAACUUUAGAUAUUCAACUCGGAAUGGCCAAAGGUCAACACUGGCAGAUUGCGAGAUUUGACUUUGAAGGCUAUGAUUUCCAUGCUCUUCCUUAUUUUAUUUUCUUGCCUUAGAUGUCCAGAAAGUUAUGGAUGUUAGUCUUUUAAUCCCACUAGAAUCAUUUCAUUUCGACCUCUAGAGCUCAUGCUCUGCACAAAAGAUCGACUGAAGGUCAAAUUUGUCAAUUACCUCUAAUUUACUCAUUUUUGCAUCUUUCAUCCAAAAGUGCCUUCAAAACAUAAAAUAAAGAAUAUGAAGGCAUUUUAUAUAUAAAACAUAGGCAAAACACUAGUUAAAUGUGGGUGAAACUAUCGAAUAAUUGCAUCACUUUACCACAAUCAAUUUUUAUAUUUGCAGUUUUCAAGAAUGGUCUCCCAAACAAUAUAGGAGUGUUGUUUGAUGAAUCACAAGAAUCAUGUUUCAUAUCAAGAAUAUAAAAGUCACAUGGAAUGACCAAACUAUCAAUCUUGACUAGGACAUCUUCUAUCACACCAAGUGGGUAAACAAAACUACAAUCCGCAAGUUGUAUUACAAUGCUAGUUUUAUUCAAAGGCUCUAGACUAAGAGAAUCAUAAACAUGUUUAGGCAUAACACUAAUGGAUGCACCUAAAUCGCACAAGGCCCUUUUGAAACUAGUAUUACCAAUAACACAUGGGAUAGUAAACACACCUGGGUCUUUUUGCUUCAAAGACAUAUUCUUUUGAACAACAGCAGAUACAACUUCACCCAUACUUACCAUUUCAUGACCUUUUAGUUUGAAAGCUCUCUUGGUAGUACACAACUCCUUCAAGAAUUUGGCAUACUUAGGAAUUUGCUUGAUAGCAUCAAGCAAAGGAAUGUUGAGUUCUACUUUCUUGAAAACCUCUAAAAUCUCUUUUUCUUUGUCCUCUUUCUUUGACCUAGAAGAACUCACAGGAAAGGGUGGAAUUGUUUUAAAACUGGAAUUCAUUGAGUGAGGAGUUACCUUUGGAGUGUUGGUCGAUGUUUCAGUUUGUGGAGGGGGAGGAUGUUCUUUCUUUGUACUCAAUUCAGUUUCUAUCUCUUCUUCUUUCUCCAUCUUAAUUUGUUUCGACGUUUUUGCUUCAAGUUCAUUCUCACUUCGCAGCAUGAUCGCACUAACAUUCUCUUUUGGAUUCAAUGCUUGGAAGGACAAUUUUCCAUUCAUUUGUGCUUCCAAUUUCCCCACACUUGAAGCUACUUGCCCCAUUUGCUUCUCCAAGUUGUGAAUACUUGACCUUGUUUCCUGUUGAAAAGACAUGACAUUUUGUUGCAAGGUCACAGUGUUAGAAGCCAAAGUUUUUAUCAUCUCAUGAAGAUCAUCACUGGAUGACGACCCCAUAACAUUGGAGUUUGUGAAUGGAAGGGGCUGUCUCGCUUGAUAAUUCUGUGGGGAUUGAAAUCCAUGGGGAUGGAAUUAUCGGCCUUGAUUGCCUUGUUGAGGUGGGUUCCCAUAGCAUAAGUUUGGAUGAUCUCUCCAUCCGGGAUUGUACGUGUUGGAAAAGGGAUCAUGUUUACGUUGGGGCUGUCCGUUAAAUCCUCUAUCAACUACAUGAACCUGUUCAAUGUAAUCUUCUUGCAUUGUUGGGCACAUAUCUGAGGUAUAUCCUUAUAAGGAACAUAUGCUACAAACUUUCACCUGCUGUACAUUUCCACAAGCCAAAGAACGCACAAGAGAAGUAAGAUCAUUAACUUUAUUUUCAAGGUUAGAAAUACUUACCUCAUUUACUCGUUUGUUUGCGAAGUCUCCACGCGUGCCAAAUUGUUUCGAGUUGGCUAGCUGCCAUGUUUGAGAUCAAUUGGCGUGCAGCCUCGGGUGUCUUAUCUAUCAAUGCCCCUCCACUUGCAGCAUCAAUGAUAGUAUGGUCAGAGGCAUGAAUCCUUCAUAGAAAUAUUGAAUGAGCAGCUGAUCGGGUAUUUGAUGAUGAGGGCAUUGAAUGCACAGUUGCUCAAAUCUUUCCCAAUACUCGGAAAAUGUCUCUCCAUGAGAUUUUCGAAUCCCACAUAUUUCUUUCCUUAUGUUGGCAACUCGAGAUGCUAGGAAAUACUUUUCAAGGAAAAUCUUCUUCAUGGCAUGCCAAGUUCCAAUGGAACCCGGGAGAAUAGAGAAAAACCAUGCAUUUGCUGCCCCUUUUAAAGAGAAAGGGAAAGCUUUCAACUUAACCUGUUCUUCAUCAACUCCAUUUGGUUUCAUGCCAACGCAAACCAUAUGGAACUCCUUGAGAUGAGUAUGAGGAUCGUCACCUGCAAGACCAUUGAAUGUUGGUAGCAAAUGUAUAAAACCAAAUUUGAGCUCAAAGUUUACAUUAUUGUCGAUGUUGAUGCACAAUGGUUGAUUUUCCACGUUAGGAGUAGCAAGCUCCUUGAGUGUUUGUUGUCGUUCAACAGCCAUGGUGCCAUGGUGUUGACGCGAGGUUCCUUUCGUAACCUGCGUAAAGUGUUUUCUAUUUCGAGAUCCACCUGCACUUGAAUCUGGUUAGUAGAACGGGUUACAAUCAUAAAUCGUCAAGAAAACUCAAAAGAAACCAACCACGCAAGAAAUCGAAAACAAUGCAAAUUGUACGAAAAUCCUAUGCUAGAAAACUAAAACUGCCUAAAAACCCUAGAAAACAAAGGAAUUUGACCUCGAUAGGGUGGGGCUAGUGGUGUACCACAAAUCCUUCUAAAUAUUUAUCUCUUCUUAACAUUGGUUAGUUAACGGAUCCGCCGUAUAACUAACCAUAACCAUCAAACAACCACAGUGUCCACACUAGUAAUUUAAUUCAAUGGCAGCCUUAAAAACUAGAUAAGUUGAUUAAUCAAGAAAAGUCCACAGUUUAUGUUUGAUUUGAUUGAAUGUUCUCCCUAAGAUUAAUAACGUAGAUCCGCCACAAUUAUUAAACUUAGUUGCUUCACAAGUUCAUAUACCACAACUCCGGUUUUGAUAUCAAACUUAGCAAUAGAUUGUCUACAAUAAUAACUUAGAGCCCGCUCUAACAAUUAAAAUAAACAAUCAUAGGAAAAAUAAGCAUAGGAGAACAAACAUAUUCAUCAUAUAAACUGAAAAGAAAAGGUAAAAUAAAUCUCACAGUUCUUGAAAUCCGAAGGUUUAUAUGUCCUUGCAACCAAGAAAAAGAGUUUAGCCUUGCAUGUUUGUUGAACACCUAUCAAAAAGAAGGAAUGCAUGAUUUUGGGUUUCUUAGAGGAAGGGGCGUUUUUAUCUUCUUUGCUGGCUGCCCCCUUGAUGCGAUCCAACCAUCAAAGGAUCUAUUGGAGGUUCCAAUUGGUCUAGUUACUAGGCUUAGGGCUAAGAAGUUCAAAUAAGCUUUCAAUGGACUUUUUCAAGAUACAUGGGCUAAGGUGGACUUCAAGAGGAUUUGUAAUAAUAAAGAGCAAGCCUUGAUUAAUCCGAUUCAUGUUCAAGAGGGGCUUGUUGGUGGAACCAAGACCAUUACACAAGGAUUGGGAGAAGAAGACUAGAUUUAGACAGUUUGACCUUUCGUUACUCUUUUAUCCACAGUUAGACUUCCAUACCUUUCCAACGAUAUAUGGCAUGCUUUCUAAUUCAUUAAGACGAGAGAGAACCAUCCAUUUUAAGUUGGGUUUUGCUGCUGCCAGACAGAAUGCGGAAACAACGAACUUGUCUUAUUUAAUUAGUUGGGCUAUCAAACUUUAAUUAUUUUGAGAGGAGACAAUUUGUUUGGGUUUUAGACUUUUUUAUUUUAAUUAUUUUGGGUUAGUUUUAGCUUGGGUUGAUUAUUAUUUAAAUUGGGUUUAUGUGAGACCCAUUAGGGAAACUAGGGUUUUGGCUUGGAGUUUAAAUACUCUUUAGGAAUAAUUUUAGGUUAGACUUUUGAUGAUAUUUUCAGCCUUGUAGCCGACUUUUGGUUGCUCAAUCUUGGUUCUUGAUUGAACUUUCAACUCUUCAAAGAAUUGACAAUUCUUUGUUGUGAAUUUAUACUUCCUUUACUCGUCUUCAAGUGUAGGCGUUGUGAUCGAGUUGGUUUAUAGUCUUGUUGCCUUGGAGUAAGUCUUCCAUUAUGAUAAGCUCAUUCAAAUCUCAACAAACUUGGGUUAGAUUGAUCUUGGGGUCGCGAAUACCAUUAAAUUUCGCUUGUGUGAAUUUACUUCCAUAUUCAGUUUUUCAAAGUCUCAAUCUAGGUGAAUUAAAACCAACUUAUGUAACUCUCUUACUUGCUGAUAGAUCUGUAAAAGUGCCUAGAGGAAUAGUUGAAGAUGUGUUAGUACAAGUUGAUAAAUUCAUUUAUCCUGUGGAUUUCAUUGUCUUCGAUACACAACUUGUUGAAGCAUGUAAUUCAUUUCCUAUUAUUUUAGGACGUCCAUUUCUUGCAACUUCUAAUGCAUUGAUUAAUUAUAGGAAUGGACUGAUGAAACUAUCAUUUGGAAAAUUGACAUUGGAGAUGAAUAUUUUCAACAUUUGCAAGCAACCUGGAGAUGAUAAUGAUUUACAGGAAGUGGACUUUAUUGAAAAAUUAGUUUAUGAUCAAUUUCAAACCACUUCCAGUGAAACUGAGAUUGAUGAAUCUGACGAUUUGCAAAUGGUUUAUUUUUAGGAAGAAUUAAAGGCAAAUAGUUGGAGACCAAAAAUUAAGGAAUUGCCACCACGAUCAAUUGAGUCCAUACCUUCAAGUGUUCAACCACCAAAACCUGAUUUGAAGUCGUUACCAUUCAAUCUCAAAUACUCAUUUUUGGGAGAAAAUGAAACUUUUCCGGUAAUAAUCUCUUCCAAACUUAAUGCACAUCACGAAGGUAAGUUAUUACAAACUCUGAAAAUGCACAAAAAUGCAUUAGGAUGCACCAUAACUAACAUAAAAGGAAUUAGUCCUUUGAUUUGCACACACAGGAUUUAUUUGGAGGAAAAUGCUAAAUCCUCUAGAGAAAUGCAACGAAGGCUUAAUUCUAAUAUGAAAGAAGUAGUGAAAAAUGAAGUCAUUAAGCUUCUAGAUAAUGGAAUCAUUUAUCCUAUUUCUGACAGCAAAUGGGUAAGUCUUACCCAAGUUGUACCCAAGAAGUCUGGAGUCAUUGUGAUAACAAAUGAGAAAAAUGAGUUAAUUCCAACUAGGACUAUUACUAGUUGGCGCAUGCGCAUUGACUAUAGGAAACUUAAUUCAAUGACUAGAAAAGUUCAUUUUCCUUUACCUUUCAUGGAUCAAAUCCCAGGAAGAGUUGCAGGUCAUGAAUUUUAUUGUUUCCUAGAUGGUUAUUCAGGCUACAACCAAAUUGAAAUUGCAUUGAAAGAUCAAGAGAAGACUACUUUCACAUGUCCAUUUGGUACUUUUGCAUAUCGAAGAAUGCCUUUUGGAUUAUGUAAUACACCAGCCACAUUUCAAAGAUGCAUGCUCAGUAUAUUUAGUGAUAUGGUUGAACGUUUUCUUGAAAUUUUUAUGGAUGAUUUUUCUGUUUUUGGCGAUUCAUUUGAUGAUUGUUUGACUAACUUAGAAAAGGUUUUGAGCAGGUGUGAAGAGAAGAAUCUUGUACUGAAUGGGAAAAAAUAUCACUUUAUGGUAACAAACGGCAUUGUACUUGUUCACAUUGUUUCAUCGAAAGGAAUUGAGGUUGACAAAUCUAAAAUCGAGUUAAUUGCUAACUUGCUAACACCAAAAUAUAUUAAAGAUGUUAGAUCGUUCUUAGGACAUGCUGGUUUUUAUAGAAGGUUCAUCAAAGAUUUUAGUGUAAUAUCUAAGCCCUUGAGUAACCUUCCUAACAAAGGAUAAUAUUUUUGAAUGGACUAAACAUUGUGAAGAAGCAUUUGUUAAACUUAAAAACUUGCUUACUCAUGCUCAUGUCAUUCAACCUCCUUAUUGGCCAUUACCUUUUGAAAUAAUGUGUGACGCUAGUGAUUAUGUCGUGGGUGCUGUCUUGGGACAUAGAAAAGAUAAGAAAUCUUAUGUGAUUUACUAUGCAAGUAAAAACUUUAAAUAGUGCUCAAAUGAAUUACACCACCACUGAAAAAGAAUUACUUGUAGUAGUAUUUGCAUGUGAAAAAUUCAGGUCUUAUCUUGUCGACUCACCUGUUGUUGUUUUUAGUGAUCAUGCAGCAUUGAAAUAUCUUCUUUCUAAGAAAGAUUCUAAGACUAGAUUGGUGCGGUGGAUUUUGUUACUUCAAGAAUUUGAUAUCACAAUCAAAGACAAGAAAGGCACCGAAAAUAUUGUCGCAGGUCAUUUGUCAAGAUUGAUAACAGAUUCGAGAUCUGACAUCACACCAAUCGAUGACUACUUUCCUGAUGAAUCUUUACUUUCCGUCUCUACAAUGCCUUGUUUGCUAAUAUUGUUAAUUUUCUUGUUUCAAGACAUUUGCCAGCUCAUUGGAGUACCCAAGACAAAAGAAAGUUCUUGAACAAAGUGAAGAACUUUUAUUGGGAUGACCUUUAUUUAUUCAAAUAUUGUCCUGAUCAAAUAUUUCGAAGAUGCAUUCCUGACAAUGAGGUAAGUAGUGUCAUUAAAUUUUAUCAUUCUGAGCAUGUGAGGGUCAUUUCUCAUCAAGAAAGACAACUCCAAAAAUCUUACAAAGUGGAUUUUACGGGCCCACCAUGUUCAAGGACUCACAUGCAUUAUGCAAGACUUGUGAAAAUUGUCAAAAGCUGAGAUCUAUUUCAAAAGGUCACAUAAUGCCUUUAAAUCCUAUUCUUGUCAUUGAGAUCUUUGAUUGUUGGGGUAUAGAUUUCAUGGGUCCAUUUCCUCCAUCAUUUGGUUUCUUGUACAUAUUAGUCGUAGUAGAUUAUGUUUCAAAAUGGAUAGAGGCAAUUCCAAGUCGAAACAAUGAUCACAAAACAGUGAUAAAGUUUUUGAAAGAAAAUAUUUUGAGUCGAUUUGGAAUCCCUCGAGCCAUGAUAAGUGAUGGUGGAACACAUUUCUGCAACAAGUCAUUUGAGUCUUUAAUGAAGAAAUAUGGAAUCACACACAAAGUUGCCACCCCUUAUCAUCCUCAGACAAGUGGACAAGUAGAACUUGCUAAUAAGGAGAUCAAACAGAUCUUGGAGAAAACAGUGAACCCUAAUAGGAAAGACUGGUCUUUUUAAUUAUACACUUUGGGUUUAUCGAACUGCUUAUAAAACAUCAUUAGAUAUGUCACCUUAUAGAUUAGUCUAUGGAAAACCUUGUCACUUGCCUGUGGAACUUCAAUAUAAAGCUUAUUGGGCUAUUAAAGCUUUUAAUUCAAACCUUGAUGAUGCUAGUCAGCUGUGAAAAUUACAAAUAAAUGAGCUUGAGGAAAUAAGAAAUGAUGCAUAUGAAAAUUCAAGAAUUCAUAAAGCAAGAAUCAAAGAGUUUCGUGACAAGAAAUUACUGAGAAAAACAUUCAAUAUUGGUCAAAAAGUCUUGCUUUAUAAUUCUCGACUCCAUUUAUUUCUUGGAAAACUAAGGUCAAGAUGGAGCGGUCCUUUUAUUGUGAAACAUGUGUAUCCAUAUGGGGCCUGUAAUAUCGAGAAUCCAAAGAAUGACAAUGUUUUCAAGGUAAAUGGGCAUUGUUUGAAAGUUUACUUUGACAAUUUUUCAGUUGAAAAUGACUCUAUUCAAUUGAGUGAUCCUGUAUAUAAAGAUUGAUUCUUUUUCUCACAUUGUUUUUAUGUUUCUUUUUGGUGUGAAUUUUGUUUUGCUAGUCUCUCUCACCCUGGUCAAAUGGCGGAUAACGGCACUCCGUGACUCUUAAGUCGGUUCUUUCAGUUUCCCAUAAUAACUUAUAUUUGUGUAUAUAUUUGUGCAAUUCUUUGCUCUUUCUCCUUUAUUUGCAUCUCUUCUCCAAUUCUCAUUUGAAAAUGGACACCACUCUUGAAAAUUGAAAAAGUAUUUUCUCGUUUUGCCUCCAAAUGCGAUUGCAAAAAUUUACCGUGCUAGGUGUGCAAGAUUAAGGUUGUUAAUGAAUCAUGGAAUUCUUGAAGAUAUUCACUGGCUAAUUGAAGCAAAGGUCUGAUUAUCAGGUGAGUCCUCCAAUUCUUUCAUUUCAUACAUACCUGGAACAGGUAAAAGUGCUUUUGCAAAGAAACGUUAUGCAAAACGACUGAAAGUCUGUCACAAAUGUGUCAGAUGGACUUGUAAUGCAACAUGUCGUUCUUUAGAAAUGGUAUUUGUAAACCGUUAAGAUAAAAUACAAUUCAUUAAGGAUGACCUAAGUAAGGGGUCUUUAGAUAAUCUUCUAUUGACUCUUGAGACGCAUCCUAGUGGAGAUGUGCAUCGUGCAAUUCAUGAUUUAUGGCCACAAUUCCAUAAAGAACAUGCUCGACAUAGUCUUGGGAAUCUGACUAAAAAAGACCAUGUUUGCCAGUUUUUAAGAAAACUGGAUGGGAAGCCUAUCCCUAACCCAUAGAGGGCAUUUAAGUCGUUCUUGGACGUAAAACCAAAGGAAGAUGUGAGCCACAAUCACAACUACCUGUACAUACACAUGCUUUUUUUUCAAAUAAUAAUAAUAAUAAUAAGAGAGAGAGAGAGAGAGUGAGACUCCAGCUAGCCUACAUAUAGGUGGUAUGAUUGCAUUUUCAAUUUCUCAUCUAUAAAAUCUUCUCUUCCUUCCCUUCAUUUCUACUCAACCAAUACAUCAAUAGAUAUAGAAGUGUGUAGAAAUGGCAGGUUCCUCAAGUCAUCACAUAAGAAAUAUUUAUGUUUUCGGUAGAUCCAGCCUUGGGAAAGAAAAAGAGUUUUUAGAAUCAAUAAAUCAUCUUGAUUAGGUACUAGCUCAAAGAAAGAUUCAUUUAGUGUAUGGGGGAGGCAGCCUUAGGUUAAUGGGGGGUGUCAAUAGCUGCAUUUUUAGGAGACAAUCAAGUUUUGGGGGUUGUCCCCAAAGCUUUAGCAAAAGGGGACAUAAUUGGAAAAACAAUUGGAGAGGAACUGCAGGUCUCCACAAUGUCUGAUCGAAUGAAUGCGAUGUUUAACCAUGCUGAUGCCUUCAUUGCUUUACCAGGUGGUCUGGGAACAUUAGAAGAGAUCUUUCAUAUUUCCUCUUGGGCCCAACUACACAUUCACCAUAAACUUAUAGGUUUGUUAAAUGUUAAUGGUUUUUAUGAUAAUUUGUUGUCUUUUCUUUAUCAAGCUGUGGAACAACAAUUUCUAACAUCUUCGGCACGAUAAAUCAUAAUCUCUAUUGUUACUACUGAACAAUUGAUUGACCAACUACAAUUUUUUCAUCCCUGUAAUUGAUCCCUACAUGAGUCGUAUAAAUUGGUCAAUUAAGGAAAGCCGUAAAAAGCUUAGAUUGGAUUUGAGCUUUCGUUUGUGAAACCUUGUGUCCUUUGGUUUUAUUAAUAGCAUAUUAUUUUGUUUUGUUAUUUCUUAUAUUUGUUUAAGUGUGUUUCAGGUUUGUUAGUGUUCGAUGUUUCAGGUGAUGUCUUCUAUACUCUAUCUUUCUACCUUAUGACAUUGAAGACAAUGUCACGUUUUGGUUGGGGGGAGAGGGUAGUAGUUGACAUAAAAAAAAACUAACUUACUAACUAUUUUUACUAUUAUUAAAACCAUUUGACAGAACUGUUAUUAGGAUGGCAGAGUAAGGAGGAAUUUUAUUAACUCUUGAAAUGCAUCUUAAUAAAUAUUCUUAUCAAGGUCUAUCAGAAUACUUAUUAAAAUAUUCAGGUUUACAAACUCUCGUAUUGUUAUCACUUGAUUAUGCUCAUAUACUCAUUUAACAAGUAUUCUUAAACCUUCAUUUUCACACACACACUUUAACAUAUGAUUGUGGGUUGCACAUUGGAUUAUUAUAUUAUUUAUGUUCUUUUGUUAAAGGUAACAACUAAGGGAAAGGGAUAGUAUAUAAUUUGCAAAAAAAAAAAACACAAACAAAUUGAUAAUAUUGAUGAUAAUAAAAACGUAGAUAAGUUUGGUUUCGUAGCCUCCCUAACUUAAAACAAUUAAGCCCGAAUGGGUGUUUUAACACCUAAUACCCUAAAGUCAACUGAUUUGGGAGCUAUUGGCCCAAAGUUUGUUACAUGGGUUAAGGAGAAAAGCUUAAGGGAAUGAAACAUUGCACUAUCUACGUAUCAGUAUCUACAACCCGAGUUACUAAGCUCGUAGGGGUGUCUCAACACCUAAUGCCCUAAGACUAACUGGUCUGGGAGUCAUUAGCCGAAAGCUCGUUAUAUGGGUUAAAGAUGCAUUAUGUUUUAUGUUUUAAGUUAUAUAUAUAUAUAUUUAAAAAAAGAGAGAAAAAAAAAAGAUAAUAAUCUUAACCCAAGGAAGUUAACCUUAAACAUUAGAACAUAAUAUUGUUUUCUUCCAAUAAAAGCCUCAUCAUCUAUGUUUUCAUACAUUGGGCACAUAAAAAGGAAGGUUUAUUAAUAUUUUGUUUAAGAGGUAUUGAGCAGAUAUAUAAAUUUAAUGAGAGUUUGUUUAUUUGAAUAGAUUAAUGGAAGUUGAAUGAUGAAUGCCUUGCUUUGUGGAACUUGCAAAUUGUUUUUCUAUUUUAACACUUUAAUUACUAGGGACUAGUAAUAAGCUAGUUGGGGGGUGCGAUUAGUACUUAAAAGUGCAUUUUUAUCAAGGUUUUAUAUCAUUAUUUUGCACUUGAAGUAUCAAUAACUCAUUAACUAGAGCAUGUUUUAUAAUAUCAUGUCUAAUACUAUAAGAUACCUUUAAUUUAUGGUAAAUGUUCAUCUUAAAUACAGGCCUAUCACAUAAAUGAAGGGAUUGAUUGAUGAGUUUAACUACUGAAAUUGAGAAGACAAGGAGAGGGCUAAACGUAGAAAAGAGAUGCUGGUUCAUUCCAAACUAAAACAAUGUUCAGUCAUUAGGUCAUAUCCGGAGAUGUAGAUCUUGGAUUUCAGUUUGGUUUAUAUGGCUAGAAAGCUAAGACAUAGGCCUAAAAGAUUUAGGAACAGUCCAAGACUCAAUUAUGCUAUUUGGAAGUCCAAAUCUUAGCAUCAAAAGAGAAGUCUGAAUCUGUCCUGCAGCCCAGAUAUUGUUCAGUGUUCAGCCCAUAUCUCAAGUUCUAGAAGUCCAAAUGCACUGUUUCUUUUUCUGUUGGAAAGCUGAGAUAAUUUCCUAGAACUUUCAUGAAGACAGUCUGUUCAAAUUCUUACGUUAGCAAUGACGUUUUGUUCAGACAAGAAGAUAAUGAUUGUCACCAAGUCAAGAUGUGGCCACCCACUCAACAAUUAGUCAUCAAAUCAAUAGUUCCAAAUUCUGGCCUAUAAAAGGAGGCAUUUGUCAUGCAUUUAGGCAUCUUGGUUUUCAUAUCAAGAUCAUUUCCUUACUUGCAUUUUUUCUUUGUAGUUUUAAUGUUCUAGUUUUAUUUCAUGUUAUAGUUUCAUUAAUAUCUUGUUUAUGCCUUUCAUUUCCUUUACUAUACUUAUAUAAUCAUGUUCUCCUCUUGUUUAUUUAUGUUUCUCUUCUUCAAUAUGUUUAGUUAAGUUUAUUAUGUCAAGGUGAAAAGGUUUCAUUAAUGGUGUUAGGAUAAGUAUAAUAUAAACUCAAUAUGGACUUCAAUGAUUAUAUCUUAAACAACCUACUAUUAACAUGUCUUAUUAUUUUUAUCUUAUUAAUUCUUAAUACCUUGCUUGUUAAAUAGUUAAUCUAAAUUUGUGUUGUAUGACACUUGGCACAACAAAUACUUGGCACUUUCAUAGCCAACCGUAUGGUAUAACCUACACCUAUGCUAUGAAAGGAACUUGAUUUGUUAUUAACAUAAGUUAGCAUCAUGAAUUCCUGACAAUAUUUAAAAGUUUGGUGUUACUUAAAUAAGAUAAUUAAUAUGAUCAUGUUAAUAAUUUAUAAUGAGCUAUUAAUGACAAAUCAUCUGAUUGGAACCUCCUUUGUGUGUGGUUUCUAGUUGAGUAAUAAAAAGAGUUUAUAUUAUACUUAUUUGAAAUAACAUUAGUGGAUCCUCUAACCUUGACAACUGUUUUUAUCAUUGUUUAAUCUUCACAUUAAUCUUACAUCUCAAAGUCCUCUUUAACUCAUCAUCACCACCACCACCACCAUCAUCAUCAUCAUCAUUUAUAAUUUAUAUAGUUAAUCUCCCUAUGGUUCAACCUCGGUCUUGCCGGGUUAUUUAUUACUUCGACACUUCUACACUUGGAAGAAGACAUCAAUCUUUUGGUCGUGUCAGCAAUUCAUAAUGUUUUAAAGAAAAAAAACUACAAUGUUAAAUUUUCAACCAACUCAAUAUUAAAAAAAUAAAAUCAACAAAGAUAAUUUUGGAAAAAAUCAUAAAAAAAAACAAAAAAAAUCAUGAAAAAAACAAAGCAAAAAAAAACAAAAAAAACCAUGUAGGGAAACACUGUAGCAAUCCACAAUGUUUUAAAGGAAAAAAACUACAAAGCUAAAUUCUCAACCAACUCAAUAUUAAAAAAAUAAAAUCGACAAAGAUUAUUUUGAAAAAAAUCAUUUUAAAAAAUAGCUCCAACUCAUCCCACACAACACCAUAACAUUUCAACCACCACCAUAGACUAAGCAACAACAUAAACAAAAACUAGAAGCACAACCCCAUCCUCCACUCUUUCCUUUCCCGUGAUCACCUUCUUUCUCGCUACCAACCGAAGAGUGCUACAAUACUCGCUUCAUAUAGCGAGUACUGUUCAUAGUGUUAGAAUGGGUAGCCAAAUAGAGAGUAACAAUGUUAUUUUUUUUUCCACUCAUACAGUCAUACUAACUAUUAUAGCUCAGAUAAAGUUGAAGCCAUCCUUGCUAAAGCACAAGCAACACCCAAUGGAAUUGUCAUUGUGUCAUAGUAUAUUUAAAAGAGUAGGGGAGUUGAGGUGAGUUUUUUUACUUGGAUUGUGAUUGUGAUGUAGUUGCAUUGGUAUUUAAAAUCUCAUCUAAAAGAGAGAUAUUCCUUAGAUUAGUUGUUUUUAUAUGUUUUAAGUUUGUUAAUUUUUAGUUAAUGAAAUUUUAUGGACACAAUUGUAUUGUAUUUUUAAGUUAUUUAAACUAUGUAUGAAUUUUUAUUUGAAUUAUGUAUUUUAAGGUGUUAGGACUUCUAUAUUGUUUAUUUAACUUUUUAUUUUAAUUAUGCUAUAUUAUUAUUUAUUAUUUGACUGAAAUUAUCAAUAUAUAAUUAGUUAAAAUAUUUUACCUACGAUUUUACUAUUCAAGUUUAUAUUGUAUAUUCCGUGUCAUGUCAAAAAAAACAUUUUUGACAACUUCGGACUUAACAAUUCAUGUAAAAAAAAUUUUCUUGAUGUUUAAUAUUUUUUUUCCUACCCUAAAUGCGAGCAUGGAAUCUCCAAAUUAAGCAGCUCCAUCUUUUUCAUUGCAAAUUCAGUCGUUUUCAAAACCACAUCAAAUCUUGAAUUUUGCUAUUUCAACACCUUUAUUUUUGAAUUUGGAAUUACGUUUAAAAUAUUUAACUUGAAAAAACAUUAAAUUUGUAUUUUUUUAGUGUUUUCAAGUAAAAAACACUUCGCACUAAAAUACUAAAUACUAAAUACGCACAAAAACAUAGUUUGUUUUUGGAUAUGCAAAAUUGCUUCCCCUCGUUUCUCAUCAGCCAAGAAAACUACAAUAGCAUAUGAUAUAAAAGAUUAGCACACAUGACAAAUUCCCCUCAACAAAUUAUUAAGACUUUUACUUCUUUUGAAAACAGUCUCAAAAUAACAGUACUAGUCUAAAGUUUCAUGUAAAUUUUUUUUCUUGAUGUUUAAUAUUUUUUUUCCUACCCUAAAUGCGAGCAUGGAAUCUCCAAAUUAAGCAGCUCCAUCUUUUUCAUUGCAAAUUCUGUCGUUUUCAAAACCACAUCAAAUCUUGAAUUUUGCUACUUCGACACCUUUAUUUUUGAAUUUGGAAUUACGUUUAAAAUAUUUAACUUGAAAAAACAUUAAAUUUGUAUUUUUUUAGUGCUUUCAAGUAAAAAACACUUCGCACUAAAAUACUAAAUACGCACAAAAACAUAGUUUGUUUUUGGAUAUGCAAAAUUGCUUCCCCUCGUUUCUCAUCUGCCAAGAAAACUACAAUAGCACAUAAUAUAAAAGAUUAGCACACAUUACAAAUUUCCCUCAACAAAUUAUUAAGACUUUUACUUCUUUUGAAAACAGUCUCAAAAUAACAGUACUAGUCUAAAGUUGAGAGAACAUACCUGUCAAAAUCAUCAAUUACUCUCUCCCUUGCCUAUUAAAAGUUUAUAUGCCUUUGAAGUUUGAACCAUACCUCAAAAAACUAGUCUAAUCCAACCCUAAAAUAGCCCAUACCAUGAAGCCAAUCUUGCACAUACCUCAUUUUUUAUUUAACAGUUAUUUACAAAAAAAAAAUGGUAAAUUUUAUUUUAAUCCUUAUAGAUUCUAAAAUGUUCAACUUUAAUGAAUAUAGUUUAAAGCCCUUUCAUAUCAAUCUCAUAAUUCUAAAAAAAUUUCAUUAUAAUCAUGGUUGUUAAAUUAGUAAGAGAAGCGAAAGACCAUUUUUUUGGAUUUUCCCACUUGAGCUUUUACAAGAGAAGCGAAAGAAAUAGGAAAAAGAGAAAUUAAGACAAACAAAAAAAUAUAUUUAAAAAAUAAGGUUAAUUUCACUAAGUCUCCUAUAAUUUAAAUAUUCUCUUAAUUUACCAUGUUUUUCAAGAAAAUAUAUUCUUCAAUUCAUAAAACUUUAUAUUUUCAUGUUAACUCAUUGUUUGUUAACAAAUUUGUUGUUAUUAUUAUUGAAAAAUUCAAAGCUUGUAAGUAAAAUAAAAAACACAAAAUCAAAAAUAAAAUCAAUCAUGCUUCCACACUUACUCCACUAAAAUACCCAAUUAAAACUCCUUUACUCAAAAGCUCAUUUUCUAACCUCAAUCUAGAAAAAAUAAAAAUAAAAAUUAAGUACUUUCCUCUUUCUAUCCUUAUCUCACAUUUAAGUUCUCUCCCUCUUCGCUAACUGUCCUUCUCUGCAAAAUCCCAAAAACCCUAGGGCCCUUUCUGUAUUUUCAACACUCCCAAAAACUAAAAAAAACUUCCUCAUUUUUUUUUUUUUUAAAUCUCAAUUUCCAUAAGUUAGGGGUUUUUACAUUUCCAUACGGUUCAGUCACAAUUACACAUUGAUAGAUUAGGAUUAGAUAGCGAGAGUUCAAAUAAACCGAAAGAAAGACGCAAAUCGUGACCGUUAGGUUUUUUUUGGAUCUGAUCAUGGACGCACGAGAUUCGACAUCGAACCGAGACGUCUCGUCGAGCGGCGGCAGCGGCACCACCACCGGCGUCGGAGGAGGAGAAGAGGAUCCUAUCCUUUCCGUCACUGCCACGCUUGCCAAAGACGCUUGGUUACACUUUAACUCUCGCCGGUUCAAUGAGUGCCUCGAGGUUUUGUAUCAGCUAAAGCAGAAAAAGGAAGACGAUCCAAAGGUGAUAAUUACACAAAUAAUAUAAAGUCACUUUUUUUUUGUCGGAUUUUAUCUGAUUAGAAAUUAAGUUUACUUCGAGUAAAAUGUUGUAAUGGACUGUUAAUUUUGUGAUUUAACUCACUUAAUUGAGUUGCUGCCUUUUAAUUUUAAUGAAUUUUGAUUAAGUUAGUUAAUUAUUCACUCACUUAAUUUAGUUGCUACUUUUUAUUUCUUAGUAUUUUUUUAGAUUAAGUUAGUUAAUUAACUUGAAAAGCUUAAUUUUGCACUUUAUUUAGUUAGUUCAAAUUUAAGGACAGUAUCUAGGCGGGCACGCGAAUGCUGAAGUUAUGCAAUGUAUUAGGGUAUUUGGAAUAUGUAAUUGAUGUGAGAAUUUUCUCUUCUUUUCGUUUUUUCUCGUUCCUUUUAAGUUUGUAAUCUCUGGGUUAUGCUUUAUUAGGUACUUCGUAAUAUUGCUAUUGCGGAGUAUAGUAGAGAUGGUUAUCCAGAUCCAAAGAAGUUGCUUGAAGUGCUUAAUAACAUUGAGGUAUGUUAUUUUUGUUAUGUUUUUGUAAUAUUGGCUGGAGGGAGGCAGUGCUAUUAGUUUGGUUUUGGCUCUGUGUGAAGAUGGGUUUGUUCUUUAAUUAUCAGAGGAUAGAGAUUUCAAAGGGAAAAAUUAUGUUGCUGAAUUGAAUUUUACAUGCAAUGCAUUAGGGUAUUUGGAAUAUGUAAGGACAGUAUCUAGGCGGGCACACGAAUGCUGAAGUUAUGCAAUGUAUUAGGGUAUUUGGAAUAUGUAAUUGAUAUGAGAAUUUUCUCUUCUUUUCGUUUUUUCUCGUUCCUUUUAAGUUUGUAAUCUCUGGGUUAUGCUUUAUUAGGUGCUUCAUAAUAUUGCUAUUGCGGAGUAUAGUAGAGAUGGUUAUCCAGAUCCAAAGAAGUUGCUUGAAGUGCUUAAUAACAUUGAGGUAUGUUAUUUUUGUUAUGUUUUUGUAAUAUUGGCUGGAGGGAGGCAGUGCUAUUAGUUUGGUUUUGGCUCUGUGUGAAGAUGGGUUUGUUCUUUAAUUAUCAGAGGAUAGUGAUUUCGAAGGGAAAAAUUAUGUUGCUGAAUUGAAUUUUACAUGUUAGAUUUUGAGAGCAAGAGAUUUCUAGUGGUGCUGCAGUCUAUACAUUUAGUUCAUUGUGGAAGGAUGCUAUGUACAGUCAUAAGAAUCUGCUCCUGCUUUCACAGUAGCAAUCACGGGUAUAAUUUACGUGUAUAACAAGUGUUCAGCAUUGCAGAGGUCAUCUCUGAGACACACUUGGAGUUGUGGGCAUUGGAUAGUUUUAUAUGAUAGUUAUUUCUUUGAUAAUUUACGUGUGCAUAUUUUAUUGUAUUGAAAUUCAAUGGAGUAAUUUGGUCUGUCAUUUCAGUCUUGUAUUAGUAUCAUACUGUCAUUGUUUGUUUCUGUUGAUUUCUUGAGCUAGAUAUGGUCUUCUAUCCUGCCAUAUGUAAGUUGGAAAGCUGUUAACUCAGUAAUGUAUUUACUAGAUUGUAUUUUUAUGCCAUUGAAAAUGAUCCUGGAAUUGCUUACUUGAAUCCUAAUCAUGUUUGCAUCAAUGUAUAAAUAGAUUAUUUUGGGAAUGAAUUACCAUCUCAUAAUACCCAUUUAGGUAUCUGCUUCAAUCUAUUAACAAUGUACCACCUGGAUGUUUUCCCUACUAUGCUGUGUUUGGAAUUUUCUGUGAGCUGGUAUGAUACUAAAAGAAAUCCAUUCCAACCCAUUUCAUUUUUUGAUACCUCCCUCUUCUUCGUCCCUUAAUAUUCAAUUUCAAUUUUUUUUCUAUCAAAUUCAAUCUACAUUCUUUUAAUUGUUAUUUCUUUUGUUUUGGAUACUUUUUUUAUUCAAUUUCACCCCUCAAUAUUUUAUUUAUUUAGAAUUUUGCUUUGUUAUUUUUAGGGUUUGCCAUAUUGUGAAAAGAAUCACAAUGAUAAUAAAAGGGGGGGGGGGAGUCCAAAUGUGGGCUAAAUGCCUGUUUCCGAAAGAAGAAAAAGUCCUAAAGUCACACGUACCAAUUGAAGGGACGGUGGGCCGAGUCACAAUAAUUUUAAUUCUAGUAUAGUAUUUAACAUCAACCAUGGAUCCUAAAGGCUAAAGUCCAUAUAUAUAUACUCAUAAGAAAAAAAAAAAAAACUAUCGUGCUUGCCUAUCUCCUUAAAAGUUUCGAAUCCUUAAACAAAGUGUUUGCCUUUUAGGUCCAAUUAGGGUUUUGGGUUUGCUUCCAAGCCCAAAAUCGAUCUCUCUCUAGUUUGUUUGCCUCCAUUCAUUCGUAUCAGUGGUUGUCUGCAUAGCAUGUUGAAAAUAUUCUGUAUGAGUAUAUCUCCUUGCAAUUUAAAUUGUCCAUGCUUCCUGCAUGAAAUCCAUUUGUGAUAUCACCACAUUGAAAUUAGUAUUUUAUGCCGUGUUCAAAUCUUAUAAUAAAUGUGCAGUCACGUUUCAUUUUGCUGUAUAAAGUAGGAAUUCUUUUUUUUUUAACCAGAUUGCAACACUUGAAGAGAAUAAUCAGCUGAUGACACCUCCAGAAAACCAGAUGGCAACCCUUGAAGACAAUAAUCACUUGAUUACUACUCCAGAAUACCAGCUGGCAACCCUUGAAGAGAAUAACCAGCUGAUUACUACUCCAGAAUACCAGAUGGAAACAUUUGAAGAAAACAAUCAUUCUAUGCCUGCUCCUGAAACACAGCCUAACAAGAGGAGGAAAAGGAAGUCCAUGGUUUGGGAACACUUCACCAUAGAAACUGUAAGUGCUGAUAGUAGAAGGGCAUUCUGUAAGCAGUGCAAGCAAAGCUUUGCAUACAGCACAGGUUCAAAAGUAGCUGGUACCAGCCAUCUUAAACGUCACAUUGCCAAGGGAACUUGUCUAGCACUACUACGCAAUCAGGGGAAUCAACAAACACCUGGUACACCAGGGAUGAAUGGAAAUGGCAGUAUGUCUGAUCCACCAAGACGUCACUACAGAUCCCAUAGCUCAGCCUACAUUUCAUUUGAUUCAGACCGUUGCCGCCCUGAAAUUGCCAGAAUGAUGAUAAUCCAUGAUUACCCUCUUCACAUGGUCGAACAUUCUGGAUUUGUAACUUUUCUCAAGACUCUUGAACCCAGAUUUGACAUGGUGAGCUUUAAUAUUGUCCAAGGAGAUUGUGUCUCAAGUUACUUGAGGGAAAAGCAAAAUGUUAUGAAGUUCAUUGAGGGUUUGCCCGGACGUGUUUGCCUUACACUGGAUGUAUGGACAUCUAGCCAAAGCUUAGGUUAUGUGUUUAUAACAGGACACUUCAUUGAUGGUUAUUGGAAGCCACAGAGGCGGAUUCUCAAUGUUGUGAUGGAACCGAACCCUAACUCAGAUGCAGCUCUUAGCCAUGCUGUUGCUACUUGCCUAUCUGAUUGGAGUUUGGAAGGCAAGCUAUUUUCUAUCACUUUCAAUCAUCCAGUGGGUGAACCUGGGCUUCAAAACCUCAGAUCUCUACUCUCUGUAAAAAAUCCCCUUAUCAUCAAUGGUCAGUUAAUCCUUGGGAACUGCAGUGCUCGUACUUUAAGCAACUUUGCAAAAGAAGUGCUAUGGGCAGGGCGAGAGAUCAUUAAGAAAGUCCGUUACAGUGUAAAGUAUGUGAAGACCUCAGAAUUUCAUGAGCAAAAGUUCCUUGAGCUCAAGGAACAGCUUCAAGUCCCCAGUGAAAAAGACCUAUCUCUUGACAACCAAGCUCAAUGGAACACAACGUAUCAGAUGCUGGUUGCUGCUUCAGAGUUGAAGGAAGUAUUUUCUUGCCUAGAUACUUCCGAUCCUGAUUACAAAGAGGCUCCAUCCAUGGAAGACUGGAAGCGGGUUGACAUUCUAUGCACGUACUUGAAACCUCUUUUUGAUGCAGCCAACUUCCUUGCCUCUAGAACUAACCCAAACCAGAAGACAUUCUUCCACGAAGUCUGGAAGAUGCAUGAGCUGUAUCAUUCUAUUACAAGUCAUGGGGAUCCCUUUGUCAUCAGUCUUGCUGAAAUAAUGCAAGAAAAGAUAGACAAAUAUUUGAAGGAGUGCAUCCUAUCUUUGGCAAUUGCUGUAGUCUUGGAUCCUCGGUUUAGGAUGAAGUUGAUCGAGUUCAGUUUUGUGAAAUUCUAUGGUAAAGAAGCUAGCAAAUACAUUAAGAUUGUUGAUGAUGCGCUCCAUGAGCUUUUUCUCGAAUAUGCGGCGCUUCCUUUCCCUCUUACGCCAGCUCACGCUGAAGAUGGAAAUUUUGAGAACAUGAAGACUGAAGAAAUUUCAUACAAUGAGCUCACAGAUUUUGAUGCGUAUGUGGAGACUACUAGCCAAAAUAAGAAGUCGGAGCUGGAGCAGUAUUUAGAAGAGUCUUUGUUGCCUCGCUUCCAAGAGAUGGAUGUACUGAAAUGGUGGGAAGAGAACAAGCUCCAGUAUCCAGUUCUUUCAACAAUGGCUCGUGAUAUAUUGACCAUGCAGGUGUCUACUGCUGAUCCUGAUUCUGUAUUUGAUACCGAGAUCAAAGAGCUGGAUGAGUAUCGGAGUUCUUUGAGACCUGAAACCGUGGAAGCCCUUGUAUGUGCAAAGGACUGGCUUCAGUACAGAUCUGCUACAGAAGUUUCUAAUGCUCUUGUGAAAGUAGAGGAUCUUAGAUCUUAGUGCUCAGUGUCUCUGACUAUAGGUUCCUUGUUAGUCUCGAUUAUAAUCUUCUACUUCUACAUUAGGCUAGAUUUUGAUCUAGAUUGCUUGAACACGAGAACUUCAGUUUUUACAGUAGCUUUUCUGAUUCUAUGAGUUCCUUGUACUUUGUUUGCUGUGGCUUAGCAAUUAUCUAUUGUCAAGGCUAAAUAUUAACAGGUGCUGGGACUAAUUAUUGAUGUCCAGCUAACCACAUAAUUGAGAAUCAAACCUGUAACAGGAGAAACAAAGGCU